UUUUUUAAGCAUGGAUUUGGUAGCAAAAUUUAUUUUGGACGAGCCACAAAAGAGGUAGUUAUCGAGGACUUUCUGCGUGUCCUUUAUUUUCGAGUCGCGUUUGGUCGGUUUUAUGGUAAAUUCUAUAACAGAUGCCAUAUAUGGUAGCUAACUUGGAAAAUUUCUGUGAACGACAUUUUUUAAGCAUGGAUUGGGAAGCAAAAAGUUAUUUUGAACGUGCCACGAAAGAGGUAUUUAUCGAGGAGUUUUUGCGUGUCCUUUGUUUUCGAGUCGCGUUUGGUCGGUUUUAGGGUAAAUUCUGUACAAGAUGUCAUGUAUGGUUACCUAACUUGGAAAUGUUCUAUGAACGGAAUUUUUUAAGAAUGGAUUGGGUAGCUAAAGUUAUUUUGGACGAGCCAAGAAAGAGGUAGUUAUAGAGGAGGUUUUGCGUGUCCUUUGUUUUUGAGUCGCGUUUGGUUGGUUCAAGGGCAAAUUCUGUACAAGAUGUCAUAUAUGGGUACCUAACUUGGAAAAAUUCUGUGAACGACAUUUGUUAAGCAUGGAUUGGGUAGCAAAAAGUAAUGUUGGACGAGCCACGAAAGAGUUAGUUAUCGAGGAGUUUUUGCGUGUCCUUUGUUUGGAUUGGGUAGCAAUAAGUUAUUUUGGGCAAGCCACCAAAGAGGUAAUUAUUGAGGAGUUUCUGCAUGUCGCGUUUGGUCGGUUUUAGGGCAAAUUCUAUAACAGAUGCCAUAUAUGGUACCUAACUUGGAAAAUUUCUGUGAACGGCGUUUUUUAAACAUGGACUGGACAGCAAAAAGUUAUUUUGGAUGAGCCACGAAAGAGGUAUUUAUCGAGGAGUUUUUGCGUGUCCUUUGUUUUCGAGUUGCGUUCGGUCGGUUUUAGGGUAAAUUAUGUACAAGAGGUCAUCUAUGGUUACCUAACUUGGAAAAUUUCUAUGAAUAGAGUUUUUUAUGAAUGGAUUGGGUAGCUAAAAGUUCUUUUGGACGAGCCUAGAAAGAGGUAGUUAUAGAGGAGGUUUUGCGUGUCCUUUGUUUUCGAGUCGCGUUUGGUUUGUUCAUGGGCAAAUUUUGUACAAGAUGUCAUAUAUGCGUACCUAACUCAGAAAAAUUCUGUGAACGACAUUUUUUAAGCAUGGACUGGGUAGGAAAAAGUUAUGUUGGAUGAGCCACUAAAGAGGUAGUUAUCGAGGAGUUUUUGCGUGUCCUUUGUUUUCGAGUCGCGUUUGGUCGGUUUUAGGGCAAAUUCUGUACAACAUGUCAUAUAUGGGAACCUAACAUUGGAAAAAUUCUAUGAAUGGCAUUUUUAAGCAUGGAUUGGGUAGCAAAAGGUUAUUUUGGAAGAGCCACGAAAGAGGUAGUUAUCGAGUCACGUUUGGUCGGUUUUACGGCAAAUUCUGUACAAGAUGUCAUAUAUGGGUACCUAACUUGGAAAAAUUCCAUGACCGGCUUUUUAAGCAUGGAUUGGGUAGCAAAAAUUUAUUUUGGACGAGCCAUGAAAGAGGUAGUUAUCAAGUAGUUUUUACGUAUCCUUUGUUUCGAGUCGCGUUUGGUCGGUUUUAGGGCAAAUUUUGUACAACAUGUCAGAUAUGGGUACCUAACUUGGAAACAUUCGGUGAAUAACAUUUUAUAAGUAUGGAUUGGGUAGCAAAAAUUUAUGUUGGACGAGCCACGAUAGAGGUAGUUACCGAGGAGUUUUUGCAUGUCCUUUGUUUUUGAGUCGCGUUUGGUCAGUUUUAGGGCAAAUUCUGUACAACAUGUAAUAUAUGGGUACCUAACUUGGAAAAAUUAUGUGAACGGCAUUUUUAAGCAUGGAUUGGGUUAUAAAAAGUUAUGUUGGACGAGCCACGAAAGAGUUAGUUAUCGAGGAGUUUUUGCGUGUCCUUUGUUUUCGAGUCCCGUUUGGUAGGUAUAAGGGCAAAUUAUGCACAAGUUUUCGUAUAUGGGUACCUAACAUGGAAAAAUUAUGUAAACAAUAUUUUUUAAGCAUGGAUUGGGUAGAAAAAAUGUUAUUUUGGACAAGCCAUGAAAGUUGUAUUUAUCGAAGAAAUUUUGCGUGUCCUUUGUUCGAGUCAUGUUUGGUCGGUUUUAGGGAAAAUUCUGGACAAGCUAUCACAUAUGGGUACCUAACUUGGAAAAAUUCUGUCAGCAGCAUUUUUUAAGCAUGGAUUGGGUAGCAAAAACUUAUUUUGGACAAGCCACGAAAGAGGUAGUUAUCGAGGAGCUUUUGCGUGCCCUUUCUUUUUGAGUCGUGUUUGGUCGGUUUUAGGGCAAAUUCUGUACAAGAUGUCAUAUAUGGGUACCUAACUUGGAAAUAUUCUGUGAACGUUAUUUUUUAAGCAAGGAUUGGGUAGCAAAAAUUUAUUUUGGACGAGCCACGAAAGAGGUAGUUAUUGAGGAGUUUCUGCAUGUCCUUUGUUUUCGAGUCGCGUUUGGUCGGUUUUAGGGAAAAUUCUAUAACAGAUGCUAUAUAUGGGCACCUAACUUGGAAAAAUUCUGUGAACGACAUUUUUUAAGGAUGGAUUGGGUAGCAAAAAGUUAUGUUGGACGAGCCACGAAAGAGGUAGCUAUCGUGGAGUUUUUGUGUGUCCUUUGUUUUUGAGUCUCGUUUGGUCGGUUUUACGGCAAAUUCUGGACAAGAUGUAAUAUAUGGGUACCUAACUUGGAAAAAUUUUGUGAAUGACAUUUUUUAAGCAUGGAUUGGGCAGCAAAAAGUUAUUUUGGAUGAGCCACGAAAGAGGUAUUUAUUGAGGAGUUUUUGCGUGUCCUUUGUUUUCGAGUCACGUUCCGUCGGUUUUAGGGUAAAUUCCGUACAAGAUGUCAUGUAUGGUUACCUAACUUGGAAAAUUUGUAUGAACGGAAUUUUUUUAAGCACGGAUUGGGUAGCUAAAAGUUAUUUUGGAUGAGCCAUGAAAGAGGUAGUUAUCAAGGAGUUUUUGCGUGUCCUUUGUUUUCAAGUCCUGUUUGGUCGGUUCAAGGGCAAAUUCUGUACAAGAUGUCAUAUAUGGGUACCUAAGUUUGAAUAAUUCUAUGAACGGUAUUUUUUAAGCAUGGAUUGGGUACCAAAAAGUUAUUUUGGACGAGCCACAAAAGAGGUAGUUAUCGAGGAGUUUCUGCGUGUCCUUUGUUUUCGAGUCGCGUUUGGUCGGUUUUAGGGCAAAUUCUAUAACAGAUGCCAUAUAUGGUAGCUAACUUGGAAAAUUUCUGUGAACGACAUUUUUUAAGCAUGGAUUGGGCAGCAAAAAGUUAUUUUGAACGUGCCACGAAAGAGGUAUUUAUCGAGGAGUUUUUGCGUGUCCUUUGUUUUCGAGUCGCGUUUGGUCGGUUUUAGGGUAAAUUCUGUACAAGAUGUCAUGUAUGGUUACCUAACUUGGAAAAUUUCUAUGAACGGAAUUUUUUAAGAAUGGAUUGGGUAGCUAAAGUUAUUUUGGACGAGCCAAGAAAGAGGUAGUUAUAGAGGAGGUUUUGCGUGUCCUUUGUUUUUGAGUCGCGUUUGGUUGGUUCAAGGGAAAAUUCUGUACAAUAUGUCAUAUAUGGGUACCUAACUUGGAAAAAUUCUGUGAACGACAUUUGUUAAGCAUGGAUUGGGUAGCAAAAAUUUAUUUUGGACGAGCCACGAAAGAGGUAGUUAUUGAGGAGUUUCUGCAUGUCCUUUGUUUUCGAGUCGCGUUUGGUCGGUUUUAGGGAAAAUUCUAUAACAGAUGCCCUAUAUGGGCACCUAACUUGGAAAAAUUCUGUGAACGACAUUUUUUAAGGAUGGAUUGGGUAGCAAAAAGUUAUGUUGGACGAGCCACGAAAGAGGUAGUUAUCGUGGAGUUUUUGUGUGUCCUUUGUUUUUGAGUCUCGUUUGGUCGGUUUUAGGGCAAAUUCUGGACAAGAUGUAAUAUAUGGGUACCUAACUUGGAAAAUUUUUGUGAAUGACAUUUUUUAAGCAUGGAUUGGGCAGCAAAAAGUUAUUUUGGAUGAGCCACGAAAGAGGUAUUUAUUGAGGAGUUUUUGCGUGUCCUUUGUUUUCGAGUCACGUUCCGUCGGUUUUAGGGUAAAUUCCGUACAAGAUGUCAUGUAUGGUUACCUAACUUGGAAAAUUUGUAUGAACAGAAUUUUUUAAGCACGGAUUGGGUAGCUAAAAGUUAUUUUGGAUGAGCCAUGAAAGAGGUAGUUAUCAAGGAGUUUUUGCGUGUCCUUUGUUUUCAAGUCCUGUUUGGUCGGUUCAAGGGCAAAUUCUGUACAAGAUGUCAUAUAUGGGUACCUAAGUUUGAAUAAUUCUAUGAACGGCAUUUUUUAAGCAUGGAUUUGGUACCAAAAAGUUAUUUUGGACGAGCCACAAAAGAGGUAGUUAUCGAGGAGUUUCUGCGUGUCCUUUGUUUUCGAGUCGCGUUUGGUCGGUUUUAGGGCAAAUUCUAUAACAGAUGCCAUAUAUGGUAGCUAACUUGGAAAAUUUCUGUGAACGACAUUUUUUAAGCAUGGAUUGGGAAGCAAAAAGUUAUUUUGAACGUGCCACGAAAGAGGUAUUUAUCGAGGAUUUUUUGCGUGUCCUUUGUUUUCGAGUCGCGUUUGGUCGGUUUUAGGGUAAAUUCUGUACAAGAUGUCAUGUAUGGUUACCUAACUUGGAAAAUUUCUAUGAACGGAAUUUUUUAAGAAUGGAUUGGGUAGCUCAAGUUAUUUUGGACGAGCCAAGAAAGAGGUAGUUAUAGAGGAGGUUUUGCGUGUCCUUUGUUUUUGAGUCGCGUUUGGUUGGUUCAAGGGCAAAUUCUGUACAAGAUGUCAUAUAUGGGUACCUAACUUGGAAAAAUUCUGUGAACGACAUUUGUUAAGCAUGGAUUGGGUAGCAAAAAGUAAUGUUGGACGAGCCACUAAAGAGGUAGUUAUCGAGGAGUUUUUGCGUGUCCUUUGUUUUCGAGUGGCGUUUGGUCGGUUUUAGCGCAAAUUCUGUACAACAUGUCAUAUAUUUGUACCUAACUUUGGAAUAAUUCUGUGAAUGGCAUUUUUUAAGCAUGGAUUGGGUAGANNNNNNNNNNNNNNNNNNNNNNNNNNNNNNNNNNNNNNNNNNNNNNNNNNNNNNNNNNNNNNNNNNNNNNNNNNNNNNNNNNNNNNNNNNNGGUUCAAGGGCAAAUUCUGUACAAGAUGUCAUAUAUGGGUACCUAACUUGGAAAAAUUCUGUGAACGACAUUUGUUAAGCAUGGAUUGGGUAGCAAAAAGUAAUGUUGGACGAGCCACUAAAGAGGUAGUUAUCGAGGAGGUUUUGCGUGUCCUUUGUUUUCGAGUGGCGUUUGGUCGGUUUUAGCGCAAAUUCUGUACAACAUGUCAUAUAUUUGUACCUAACUUUGGAAUAAUUCUGUGAAUGGCAUUUUUUAAGCAUGGAUUGGGUAGAAAAAAGUUAUUUUGGAAGAGCCACGAAAGAGGUAGUUAUCGUGGAGUUUUUGCAUGUCACUUGUUUUUGAGUCGCGUUUGGUCGGUUUUAGGGAAAAUUCUGUACAAGAUGUCAUAUAUGGGUACCGAACUUGGAAAAAUUCUAUGACCGGCUUUUUAAGCAUGGAUUGGGUAGCCAAAAGUUAUUUUGGACGAGCCACAAAAGAGGUAUUUAUCGAGGAUUUUUUGCGUCUCAUAUGUUGUCGAGUCGCGUUUGGUCGGUUUUAGGGUAAAUUCUGUACAAGAUGUCAUGUAUGGUUACCUAACUUUGAAAAUUUCUAUGAACGGAAUUUUUUAAGAAUGGAUUGGGUAGCUAAAAGUUAUUUUGGAUGAGCCAAGGAAGAGGUAGUUAUAGAGGAGGUUUUGCGUGUCCUUUGUUUUCGAGUCGCGUUUGGUUGGUUCAAGGGCAAAUUUUGUACAAGAUUUCAUAUAUGGGUACCGACAUGGAAAAAUUCUGUCAAUGACAUUUUUUAAGCAUAGAUUGGGUAGCAAAAAGUUAUGUUGGAUGAGCCACUAAAGAGGUAGUUAUCGAGUAGUUUUUGCGUGUCCUUUGUUUUCGAGUCGCAUUUGGUCGGUUUUAGGGCAAAUUCUGUACAACAUGUCAUAUAUGGGAACCUAACUUUAGAAAAAUUCUAUGAAUGGCAUUUUUAAGCAUGGAUUGGGUAGCAAAAAGUUAUUUUGGAAGAGCCACGAAAGAGGUAGUUAUCGAGUCACGUUUGGUCGGUUUUAGGGCAAAUUCUGUACAAGAUGUCAUAUAUGGGUACCUAACUUGGAAAAAUUCCAUGACCGGCUUUUUAAGCAUGGAUUGGGUAGCAAAAAUUUAUUUUGGACGAGCCAUGAAAGAGGUAGUUAUCAAGUAGUUUUUACGUAUCCUUUGUUUCGAGUCGCGUUUGGUCGGUUUUAGGGCAAAUUUUGUACAACAUGUCAGAUAUGGGUACCUAACUUGGAAACAUUCGGUGAACAACAUUUUAUAAGUAUGGAUUGGGUAGCAAAAAUUUAUGUUGGACGAGCCACGAUAGAGGUAGUUACCGAGGAGUUUUUGCAUGUCCUUUGUUUUUGAGUCGCGUUUGGUCGGUUUUAGGGAAAAUUCUGUACAACAUGUAAUAUAUGGGUACCUUACUUGGAAAAAUUAUGUGAACGGCAUUUUUAAGCAUGGAUUGGGUUAUAAAAAGUUAUGUUGGACGAGCCACGAAAGAGUUAGUUACCGAGGAGUUUUUGCGUGUCCGUUGUUUUCGAGUCCCGUUUGGUAGGUAUAAGGGCAAAUUAUGCACAAGUUUUCGUAUAUGGGUACCUAACAUGGAAAAAUUAUGUAAACAAUAUUUUUUAAGCAUGGAUUGGGUAGAAAAAAUGUUAUUUUGGACAAGCCAUGAAAGUGGUAUUUAUCGAAGAGUUUUUGCGUGUCCUUUGUUCGAGUCGUGUUUGGUCGGUUUUAGGGAAAAUUCUGGACAAGCUAUCACAUAUGGGUACCUAACUUGAACAAAUUCUGUCAGCAGCAUUUUUUAAGCAUGGAUUGGGUAGCAAAAACUUAUUUUGGACAAGCCACGAAAGAGGUAGUUAUCGUGGAGUUUUUGCGUGCCCUUUGUUUUUGAGUCGUGUUUGGUCGGUUUUAGGGCAAAUUCUGUACAAGAUGUCAUAUAUGGGUACCUAACUUGGAAAUAUUCUGUGAACGUUAUUUUUUAAGCAAGGAUUGGGUGGUAAAAAGUUAUUUUGGGCAAGCCACGACAGAGGUAGUUAUCGAGGAGUUUCUGCGUGCCCUUUGUUUCCGAGUUGCGUUUGGUCGGUUUUAGGGCAAAUUCUGUAACAGAUGUCAUAUAGGGGUACCUACCUUGGAAUUUUUCUGCGAACGACAUUUUUUAAGCAUGAUUGGGUAGCAAAAAGUUAUUUUGGACGAGCCACGAAAGAGGUAGUUAUUGAGGAGUUUCUGCAUGUCCUUUGUUUUCGAGUCGCGUUUGGUCGGUUUUAGGGAAAAUUCUAUAACAGAUGCCAUAUAUGGGCACCUAACUUGGAAAAAUUCUGUGAACGACAUUUUUUAAGGAUGGAUUGGGUAGCAAAAAGUUAUGUUGGACGAGCCAUGAAAGAGGUAGUUAUCGUGGAGUUUUUGUGUGUCCUUUGUUUUUGAGUCUCGUUUGGUCGGUUUUAGGGCAAAUUCUGGACAAGAUGUAAUAUAUGGGUACCUAACUUGGAAAAUUUUUGUGAAUGACAUUUUUUAAGCAUGGAUUGGGCAGCAAAAAGUUAUUUUGGAUGAGCCACGAAAGAGGUAUUUAUUGAGGAGUUUUUGCGUGUCCUUUGUUUUCGAGUCACGUUCCGUCGGUUUUAGGGUAAAUACCGUACAAGAUGUCAUGUAUGGUUACCUAACUUGGAAAAUUUGUAUGAACAGAAUUUUUUAAGCACGGAUUGGGUAGCUAAAAGUUAUUUUGGAUGAGCCAUGAAAGAGCUAGUUAUCAAGGAGUUUUUGCGUGUCCUUUGUUUUCAAGUCCCGUUUGGUCGGUUCAAGGGCAAAUUCUGUACAAGAUAUCAUAUAUGGGUACCUAAGUUUGAAUAAUUCUAUGAACGGCAUUUUUUAAGAAUGGAUUGGGUACCAAAAAGUUAUGUUGGACGAGCCACGAAAGAGGUAGUUACCGAGGAGUUUUUGCGUGUCUUUUGUUUUUGAGUCGCGUUUGGUCUGUUUUAGGGCAAAUUCUGUACAACAUGUAAUAUAUGGGUACCUAACUGGGAAAAAUUAUGUGAACGACAUUUUUAAGCAUGGAUUGGGUUAUAAAAAGUUAUGUUGGACGAGCCACGAAAGAGUUAGUAUCGAGGGGUUUUUGCGUGUCCUUUGUUUUCUAGUCGCGUUUGGUAGGUUUUAGGGCAAAUUAUGCACAAGCUGUCAUAUAUGGGUACCUAACUUGGAAAAAUUAUGUGAACGGCAUUUUUUAAUUAUGGAUUGGGUUAUAAGAAGUUAUGUUGGAGGAGUCACGAUAGAGUUAGUUAUCGAGGAGCUUUUGCGUGUCCUUUGUUUUCGAGUCGCGUUUGGUCGCUUUUAGGGCAAAUGCUGGACAAGCUGUCAUAUAUGGGUACCUGACUUGGAAAAAUUCUAUGAGCAGAAUUUUUUAAGCAUGGGGUAGCAAUAAGUUAUUUUGGACGAGCCAAGAAAGAGGAAGUUAUCGAGUAGUUUUUGCCUGUUCUUUGUUUUCGGGUCGCGUUUGGUCGGUUUUAAGAGAAAUAUUGUACAAGACGUCAUAUAUGGGUACCUAACAUGGAAAAAUUAUGUAAACGACAUUUUCUAAGCAUGGAUUGGGUAGCAAUAAGUUAUUUUGGACGAGCCAAGAAAGAGGUAGUUAUCGUGGAGUUUUUGCAUGUCCUUUAUUUUUGAGUCGCCUUUGGUCGGUUUUAGGGCAAAUUCUGUACAAUAUGUAAUAUAUGGGUACCUAACUUGGAAAAAUUAUGUGAAUUGAAUUUUUUAAGCAUGGAUUGGGUUAUAAAAAGUUAUGUUGGACGAGCCACGAAAGAGUUAGUUAUCGAGGAUUUUUUUGCGAUACCUUUGUUUUUGAGUCGCAUUUGGUAGGUUUAAGGGCAAAUUAUGCACAAGAUGUCAUUUAUGCGUGCCUAACUUGGAAAAACUAUGUAAAGGGCAUUUUUAAGCAUGUAUUGGGUAGGAAAAAGUUAUUUUGGACGAGCCAUAAAAGAGGUAUUUAUCGAGGUGUUUUUGCGUGUCCUUUGUUUUCGAGUCGCAUUUGGUCCGUGUUUGGGCAAAUUCUGGACAAGCUGUCAUAUAUGGGUACCUCACUUGGAAAAAUUCUGUGACCAGCAUUUUUUAAGCAUGGAUUAGGUAGCAAUAAGUUAUUUUGGAUGAGCCAAGAAAGAGGUAGUUAUCGAGUAGUUUUUCCGUGUCCUUUGUUUUGAAUCGCGUUUGGUCAGUUUUAGGGCAAAUUCUGUACAACAUGUCAUAUAUGGGAACCUAACUUUAGAAAAAUUCUAUGAAUGGCAUUUUUAAGCAUGGAUUGGGUAGCAAAAAGUUAUUUUGGAAGAGCCACGAAAGAGGUAGUUAUCGAGUCACGUUUGGUCGGUUUUAGGGCAAAUUCUGUACAAGAUGUCAUAUAUGGGUACCUAACUUGGAAAAAUUCCAUGACCGGCUUUUUAAGCAUGGAUUGGGUAGCAAAAAUUUAUUUUGGACGAGCCAUGAAAGAGGUAGUUAUCAAGUAGUUUUUACGUAUCCUUUGUUUCGAGUCGCGUUUGGUCGGUUUUAGGGCAAAUUUUGUACAACAUGUCAGAUAUGGGUACCUAACUUGGAAACAUUCGGUGAANNNNNNNNNNAGGUAGUUAUCGUGGAGUUUUUGCAUGUCCUUUAUUUUUGAGUCGCCUUUGGUCGGUUUUAGGGCAAAUUCUGUACAAUAUGUAAUAUAUGGGUACCUAACUUGGAAAAAUUAUGUGAAUUGAAUUUUUUAAGCAUGGAUUGGGUUAUAAAAAGUUAUGUUGGACGAGCCACGAAAGAGUUAGUUAUCGAGGAUUUUUUUGCGAUACCUUUGUUUUUGAGUCGCAUUUGGUAGGUUUAAGGGCAAAUUAUGCACAAGAUGUCAUUUAUGCGUGCCUAACUUGGAAAAACUAUGUAAAGGGCAUUUUUAAGCAUGUAUUGGGUAGGAAAAAGUUAUUUUGGACGAGCCAUAAAAGAGGUAUUUAUCGAGGUGUUUUUGCGUGUCCUUUGUUUUCGAGUCGCAUUUGGUCCGUGUUUGGGCAAAUUCUGGACAAGCUGUCAUAUAUGGGUACCUCACUUGGAAAAAUUCUGUGACCAGCAUUUUUUAAGCAUGGAUUAGGUAGCAAUAAGUUAUUUUGGAUGAGCCAAGAAAGAGGUAGUUAUCGAGUAGUUUUUCCGUGUCCUUUGUUUUGAAUCGCGUUUGGUCAGUUUUAGGGCAAAUUCUGUACAAGACGUCAUAUAUGGGUACCUAACAUGGAAAAAUUCUGUGAACGAAAUUUUUUAAGCAUGGAUUAGGUAGCAAAAAGUUAUUUUGGACGAGCCACGAAAGAGGUAAUUAUUGAGGAGUUUCUGCGUGUCCUUUGUUUUUGAGUCGCGUUUGGUCGGUUCUAGGGUAAAUUCUGUACAAGAUGUCAUAUAUGGGUACCUAACUUGGAAAUAUUCUAUGAACGACAUUUUUAAGCAUGGAUUGGGUAGCAAAAAUUUAUUUUGGGCAAGCCAACAAAGAGGUAAUUAUCGAGGAGUUUCUGCGUGUCCUUUCUUUCCGAGUCGUGUUUGGUCGGUUUUAGGGCAAAUUCUGUAACAGAUGUCAUAUGUGGUACCUACCUUGGAAAUUUUCUGCGAACGGCAUUCUUUUAAGCAUGUACUUGGUUGCAAAAUUUAUUUUGGAGGAGCCACAAAAGAGGUAGUUAUCAAGGAGUUUCUGCGUGUCCUUUGUUUUCGAGUCGCGCUUGGUCGGUUUCUCGGAAAUUCUAUAACAGAUGCCAUAUAUGGUACCUAACUUGGAAAAUUUCUGUGAACGGUAUUUUUAAGCAUGGAUUGGGCAGCAAAAAGUUAUUUUGGACGUCCCACGAAAGAGGUAUUUAUCGAGGAGUUUUUUCGUGUCCUUUGUUUUCGAGUCUCGUUUGGUCGGUUUUAGGGUAAAUUCUGUACAAGAUGUCAUGUAUGGUUACCUAACUUGGAAAAUUUCUAUGAACGUAAUUUUUUAAGAAUGGAUUGGGUAGCUAAAAGUUAUUUUGGACGAGCCAAGAAAGAGGUAGUUAUAGAGGAGGUUUUGCGUGUCCUUUGUUUUCGAGUCGCGUUUGGUUGGUUCAAGGGCAAAUUCUGUACAAGAUGUCAUAUAUGGGUACCUAACUUGGAAAAAUUCUGUGAACGACAUUUUUUAAGCAUGGAUUGGGUAGCAAAAAGUUAUGUUGGACGAGCCACUAAAGAGUUAGUUAUCGAGGAGUUUUUGCGUGUCCUUUGUUUUCGAGUCACGUUUGGUCGGUUUUAGGGCAAAUUCUGUACAACAUGUCAUAUAUGGGUACUUAACUUUGAUAAAAUUCUGUGAAUGGCAUUUUUUAAGCAUGGAUUGGGUAGAAAAAAUUUAUUUUGGAAGAGCCACAAAAGAGGUAGUUAUCGAGGAGUUUUUGCAUGUCAUUUGUUUUUGAGUCGCGUUUGGUCGGUUUUAGGGCAAAUUCCGUACAAGAUGUCAUAUAUGAGUACCUAACUUGGAAAAAUUCUAUGACCGGCUUUUUAAGCAUGGAUAGGGUAGCCAAAAGUUAUUUUGGACGAGCCAAGAAAGAGGUAUUUAUCGAGGAGUUUUGCGUGUCUUUUGUUAUCGAGUCGCGUUUGGUCGGUUUUAGGGUAAAUUCUGUACAAGAUGUCAUGUAUGGUUACCUAACUUGGAAACUUUCUAUGAACGGAAUUUUUUAAGAAUGGAUUGGGUAUCUAAAAGUUAUUUUGUACGAGCCAAGGAAGAGGUAGUUAUAGAGGAGGUUCUGCGUGUCCAUUGUUUUCGAGUCGCGUUUGGUUGGUUCAAGGGCAAAUUUUGUACAAGAUGUGAUAUAUGGGUACCUAGCUUGGAAAAAUUAUGUGAAUGACAUUUUUUAAGCAUUGAUUGGGUAGCCAAAAGUUAUGUUGGACGAGCCACUAAAGAGGUAGUUAUCGAGGAGUUUUUGCGUGUCCUUUGUUUUCGAGUCGCGUUUGGUCGAUUUUAGGGCAAAUUCUGUACAACAUGUCAUAUAUGGGUACCUAACUUUGGAAAAAUAAUAUGAAUGGCAUUUUUAUGCAUGGAUUGGGUAGCAAAAAGUUAUUUUGGAAGAGCCACGAAAGAGGUAGUUAUCGAGUCAAGUUUGCUCGGUUUUAGGGCAAAUUCUGUACAAGAUGUCAUAUAUGGGUACCUAACUUGGAAAAAUUCUAUGACCGGGUUUUUAAGCAUGGAUUGGGUAGCCAAAAGUUAUUUUGGACGAGCCAUGAAAGAGGUAGUUAUCAAGGAGUUUUUGCGUGUCCUUUGUUUCGAGUCGCGUUUGGUCGGUUUUAGGGCAAAUAUUGUACAACAUGUCAUAUAUGGGUACCUAACUUCCAAACAUUCGGUGAACGACAUUUUAUAAGGAUGGAUUGGGUAGCAAAAAAUUAUGUUGAACAAGCCACGAUAGAGGUAGUUACUGACGAGUUUUUUCAUGUCCUUUGUUUUUGAGUCGUGUUUGGUCGGUUUUAGGGCAAAUUCUGUUAUGUUGGACGAGCCACGACAGAGUUAGUUAUCGAGGAGUUUUUGCGUGUCCUUUGUUUGGAUUGGGUAGCAAUAAGUUAUUUUGGGCAAGCCACCAAAGAGGUAAUUAUUGAGGAGUUUCUGCAUGUCGCGUUUGGUUGGUUUUAGGGAUAAUUCUUUAACAGAUGUCAUAUACGGUACCUACCUUGGAAAUUUUCUGCGAACGGCAUUCUUUUAAGCAUGGACUUGGUAGCUAAAUCUAUUUUGGACGAGCCCCAAAAGAGGUAGUUAUCGAGGAGUUUCUGCGUGUCCUUUGUUUUUGAGUCGCGUUUGGUCGGUUUUAGGGCAAAAUUCUGUGAACGGCGUUUUUUAAGAAUGGAUUGGACAGCAAAAAGUUAUUUUGGACGAGCCACGAAAGAGGUAUUUAUCGGGGAGUUUUUGCGUGUCCUUUGUUUUCGAGUUGCGUUUGGUCGGUUUUAGGGUAAAUUAUGUACAAGAGGUCAUCUAUGGUUACCUACUUGGAAAAUUUCUAUGAACAGAGUUUUUUAUGAAUGGAUUGGGUAACUAAAAGUUAUUUUGGACGAGCCAAGAAAGAGGUAGUUAUAGAGGAGGUUUUGCGUGUGCUUUGUUUUCGAGUCAUAUAUGGGUACCUAACUUAGAAAAAUUCUGUGAACAACAUUUUUUAAGCAUGGACUGGGUAGCAAAGAGUUAUGUUGGACGAGCCACUUAAGAGGUAGUUAUCGAGCAGUUUUUGCGUGUCCUUUGUUUUUGAGUCGCGUUUGGUCGGUUUUAGGGCAAAUUCUGUACAACAUGUCAUAUAUGGGUACCUAACUUUGGAAAAAUUCUGUGAAUGGCAUUUUUUAAGCAUGGAUUGGGUAGCAAAAAGUUAUUUUGGAAGAGCCAUGAAAGAGGUAGUUAUCGAGGAGUUUUUUCAUGUCAUUUGCUUUCGAGUCGCGUUUGGUCGGUUUUAGGGAAAAUUCUGUACAACAUGUCAUAUAUGGGUUGGGUUAUAAAAAUUUAUGUUGGACGAGCCACGAAAGAGUUAGUUAUCGCGGAGUUUUUGCGUGUCCUUUGUUUUUGAGUCGCAUUUGGUAGGUUUAAGGGCAAAUUAUGCACAAGAUGUCAUAUAUGGGUACCUAACUUGGAAAAGUUAUGUAAACGGCAUUUUUUAAGCAUGGAUUGGGUAGCAAAAAGUUAUUUUGGAUGAGCCAUAAAAGAGAUAUUUGUCCAGGAGUUUUUGCGUGUCCUUUGUUUUCGAGUCACAUUUGGUUGGUUUUAGGGCAAAUUCUGGACAAGCUGUCAUAUAUGGGUACCUAACUUGGAAAAAUUAUGUGACCAGCAUUUUUUAAGCAUGGAUUAGGUAGCAAUAAGUUAUUUUGGAUGAGCCAAGAAAGAGGUAGUUAUCGAGUAGUUUUUCCGUGUCCUUUUGUUUUUGAGUCGCGUUUGGUCGGUUUUAGGGCAAAUUCUGUACAAGACGUCAUAUAUGGAUACCUAACAUGGAAAAAUUGUGUGAACGAAAUUUUUUAAGCAUGGAUUGGGUAGCAAAAAGUUAUUUUGGACAAGCCACGAAAGAGGUAGUUAUGGAGGAAUUUUUGCGUGUCCUUUUUUUUGAGUCGCGUUUCGUCGGUUUUAGGGUAAAUUCUGUACAAGAUGUCAUAUAUGGGUACCAAACUUGGAAAUAUUCUCUGGACGACAUUUUUAAGCAUGGAUUGGGUAGCAAAAAGUUAUUUUGGGCAAGCCGCCAAAGAGGUAAUUAUCGAGGAGUUUCUGCGUGUCCUUUCUUUCCGAGUCGUGUUUGGUCGGUUUUAGGGCCAAUUCUAUAACAGAUGUCAUAAUGGUACCUACCUUGGAAACUUUCUGCGAACGACAUUUUUUUAAGCAUUGAUUUGGUGGGAAAAUUUAUGUUGGACGAGCCAAAAAAGAGGUAGUUAUCGAGGAGUUUCUGCGUGUCCUUUGUUUUCGAGUCGCGUUUGGUCGGUUUUAGGGCAAAUUCUGUACAAGACGUCAUAUAUGGAUACCUAACAUGGAAAAAUUCUGUGAACGAAAUUUUUUAAGCAUGGAUUGGGUAGCAAAAAUUUAUUUUGGACAAGCCACGAAAGAGGUAGUUAUGGAAGAAUUUUUGCGUGUCCUUUGUUUUUGAGUCGCGUUUCGUCGGUUUUAGGGUAAAUUCUGUACAAGAUGUCAUAUAUGGGUACCAAACUUGGAAAUAUUCUGUGGACGACAUUUUUAAGCAUGGAUUGGGUAGCAAAAAGUUACUUUGGGCAAGCCGCCAAAGAGGUAAUUAUCAAGGAGUUUCUGCGUGUCCUUUCUUUCCGAGUCGUGUUUGGUCGGUUUUAGGGCAAAUUCUAUAACAGAUGUUAUAUAUGGUACCUACCUUGGAAAUUUUUUGCGAACGGCAUUUUUUUAACCAUGGAUUUGGUAGCAAAAUUUAUUUUGGACGAGCCACAAAAGAGGUAGUUAUCGAGGAGUUUCUGCGUGUCCUUUGUUUUCGAGUCACGUUUGGUCGGUUUUAGGGCAAAUUCUAUAACAGAUGCCAUAUAUGGUAGCUAACUUGGAAAAUUUCUGUGAACGACAUUUUUUAAGCAUGGAUUAGGCAGCAAAAAGUUAUUUUGGACGUGCCACGAAAGAGGUAUUUAUCGAGGAGUUUUUGCGUGUCCUUUGUUUUCGAGUCGCGUUUGGUCGGUUUUAGGGUAAAUUCUGUACAAGAUGUCAUGUAUGGUUACCUAACUUGGAAAAUUUCUAUGAACGGAAUUUUUUAAGAAUGGAUUGGGUAGCUAAAGUUAUUCUGGACAAGCCAAAAAAGAGGUAGUUAUAGAGGAGGUUUUGCGUGUCCUUUGUUUUCGAGUCGCGUUUGGUUGGUUCAAGGGCAAAUUCUGUACAAGAUGUCAUAUAUGGGUACCUAACUUGGAAAAAUUCUGUGAACAACAUUUGUUAAGCAUGGAUUGGGUAGCAAAAAGUAAUGUUGGACGAGCCACUAAAGAGGUAGUUAUCGAGGAGUUUUUGCGUGUCCUUUGUUUUCGAGUGGCGUUUGGUCGGUUUUAGCGCAAAUUCUGUACAACAUGUCAUAUAUGUGUACCUAACUUUGGAAUAAUUCUGUGAAUGGCAUUUUUUAAGCAUGGAUUGGGUAGAAAAAAGUUAUUUUGGAAGAGCCACGAAAGAGGUAGUUAUCGAGGAGUUUUUGCAUGUCAUUUGUUUUUGAGCCGCGUUUGGUCGGUUUUAGGGAAAAUUCUGUACAAGAUGUCAUAUAUGGGUACCGAACUUGGAAAAAUUUUAUGACCGGCUUUUUAAGCAUGGAUUGGGUAGCCAAAAGUUAUUUUGGACGAGCCACAAAAGAGAUAUUUAUCGAGGAGUUUUUGCGUGUCAUUUGUUGUCGAGUCGCGUUUGGUCGGUUUUAGGGUAAAUUCUGUACAAGAUGUCAUGUAUGGUUACCUAACUUGGAAAAUUUCUAUGAACGGAAUUUUUUAAGAAUGGAUUGGGUAGCUAAAAGUUAUUUUGGAUGAGCCAAGGAAGAGGUAGUUAUAGAGGAGGUUUUGCGUGUCCUUUGUUUUCGAGUCGCGUUUGGUUGGUUCAAGGGCAAAUUUUGUACAAGAUGUCAUAUAUGGGUACCUACUUGGAAAAAUUCUGUCAAUGACAUUUUUUAAGCAUAGACUGGGUAGCAAAAAGUUAUGUUGGAUGAGCCACUAAAGAUGUAGUUAUCGAGGAGUUUUUGCGUGUCCUUUGUUUUCGAGUCACGUUUGGUCGGUUUUAGGGCAAAUUCUGUACAACAUGUCAUAAAUGGCUACCUAACUUUGGAAAAAUUUUGUGAACGACAUUUUAUAAGGAUGGAUUGGGUAGCAAAAAUUUAUGUUGGACGAGCCACGAAAGAGUUAGUUAUCGAGGAGUUUUUGCAUGUUCUUUGUUUUUGAGUCGCGUUUGUUCGGUUUUAGGGCAAAUUCUGUACAAGAUGUAAUAUAUGGGUACCUAACUUGGAAAAAUUAUGUGAACGGCAUUUUUAAGCAUGGAUUGGGUUAUAAAAAGUUAUGUUGGACGAGCCACGAAAGAGUUAGUUAUCGAGGAGUUUUUCCGUGUCCUUUGUUUUCAAGUCGCGUUUGGUAGGUUUAAGGGCAAAUUAUGCACAAGUUUUCAUAUAUGGGUACCUAACUUGGAAAAAUUAUGUAAACAGCAUUUUUUAAGCAUGGAUUGGGUAGCAAAAAGUUAUUUUGGACAAGCCAUGAAAGUGGUAUUUAUCGAACAGUUUUUGCGUGUCCUUUGUUUUCGAGUCGUGUUUGGUCGGUUUUAGGGCAAAUUCUGGACAAGCUAUCACAUAUGGGUACCUAACUUGGAAAAAUUCUGUGAGCAGCAUUUUUUAAGCAUGUAUUGGGUAGCAAUAAGUUAUUUUGGAUGAGCCAAGAAAGAGGUAGUUAUCGAGUAGUUUUUGCAUGUCAUUUGUUUUCGAGUCGCGUUUGGUCGGUUUUAGGGCAAAUUCUAUACAAGACGUCAUAUAUGGGUACCUAACAUGGAAAAAUUAUGUAAACGACAUUGUUUAAGCAUGGAUUGGGUAGCAAAAAGUUUUUUUGGACGAGCCAUGAAAGAGGUAUUUAUCGAGGAGUUUUUGCGUGUCCUUUGUUUUCGAGUCGUGUUUGGUCGGUUUUAGGGCAAAUUCUAGACAAGCUGUCAUAUAUGGGUACCUAACUUGGAAAAAUUCUGUGAGUAGCAUUUUCAAGCAUGGAUUGGGUAGCAAUAAGUUAUUUUGGACGAGCCAAGAAAGAGGUAGUUAUCGAGGAGUUUUUGCGUGUCCUUUGUUUUUUGAGUCGCGUUUGGUUGGUUUUAGAGCAAAUUCCGUACAAGAUGUUCCUAACUUGGAAAAAUUAUGUGAACGGCAUUUUUAAUUGUGGAUUGGGUUAUAAAAAGUUAUGUUGGAGGAGCCACGAUAGAGUUAGUUAUCGAGGAGUUUUUGCGUGUCCUCUGUUUUCGAGUCGCGUUUGGUCGGUUUUAGGGCAAAUUCUGUACAACUUGUCAUAUAUGGGUGUAACACCCCAGAUGUAACUUUCCAUAUUUGCAACUUCAACUCUUGCCAUUUUUGGCUAUGUGUUAUGACAUUCCCUUCGUGGUCGGGUUUUGUUUUCCGUUUUGCUUUUUGCUUUUGUCAUGCAUCUCAUAUCAUGUCAUCAUGUGCAUUGCAUUUGCAUACGUGUUCGUCUUUUGCAUCCGAGCAUUUUCCCAGUUGUCCGUUUUGCAAUCCGGCACUCCCACCUCCUCCGGCGCACCCCUCUUUUUUUCUUUUCGUGAGCGGGUGUUGAACAUUCUCGAAAUGGACCGAGGCUUGCCAAGCGGCCUUGGUAUACCACCGGUAGACCACCUGUCAAGUUUCGUUCCAGUUGGAGGUCGUUUGGUACUCCAACGGUUAACCGGGCAACCGCAAAGUCCUUUUGUGUGUUGCAGCAAAACCCCCCUCCUAAUAGCCCAAAACCCAUCUAAGUCACUUCCAUGCUCUAGGUCGUUCAAUUAGGAUCGUGUGGGCGAAAACCGUGCUCAAUUUGGAGUCUCCUAGCUCCCUCUGCCUAUAAAAACACCUCCCCCUCCGAAAUCUGGGCGAAACCCUAGCAAAAAUCGUCCUCCGCGCCGCCAAACGCGUCCACUCCCGCCGGACGAACCCGCCGCCGCGCCCUGCCCACUCACAGCGCGACACGUGGCUUCGCUCCGUCGCCCGCGCCGCCGGCCCGCUGGGCGUGUAAUAUAUCGAAAUGUUCAUCUCGAGAUGCUCUUCAUUUUGUUCCAUUGCACCAUGUUCAUUUGAGUCCAUCUUGAGGCCCAAAUCUCUGGUGCAAGAGUGCUAGUUGCUGUUAACUGCUGUUACUUAUCAGAACUUGAGGAUUUGUUAUUUUUGUUGCUAUUAAUGUGUGCAUCUUACUGUCAUCAAGCUCACCAAGUCUGUAACAUGUUAACGAAACUUGCUAUGUUUACAUGGUUGCCAUCAUAUCUUCUGGUCCUUUUUGGCUUAUGGUCAGUAAGGGACUUUUGUUAUAUGCAUUUAGUAGAAUACUGACAUGCCUUGUUUUGCCAUGUUAAGUUCCUGUAGCAUGUUGAUUGCUUGCUCUGAACAUUGCUACCUGAUGCUGUUUAUGCCAUGUCCAGUAAUUUCACCAAGUCUGUGAACAUGAUAUCUUUUGCACUUUUGCCAUGCCUGUUUGAACCUCCUGUGGUGUGAUCUAGCCGUAGCUCAUUGUUCAUCUUUUGGCAAGCACCUCCUGUAGAUUACUGCCAUAUGCUUUGCUGCUAUGUUGGGGUGCUGUAGCAUUGUUACUUGUUACAUUCUAAGUGCUAUCAUGCUGUUAAUCGCAGAUUCGUGUCAUUCUUGUUUUGCUUGCCAUUUGCAAACCGUGCAUCCGUUUCCGGUGAUCUUUAUAUCGAUUUCAACCAAAAUCAUCUCAUCUUUCCAGUGGCAUGCUUGGUUUGUCAAUUUACUGCCUUGUUCAUCAUUUUUCUUCCGGAGCACGCAUAUGCAUCGCAUAUCAUAUCUUGCAUAUCAUUCAUGUAUUGCAUCAUGUUGCUUGUGCAUUUCCCGUGAUUGAUUGUGGUUCCGUUGCUUGUGUUCUUGUUUUGGGUAGAGCCGGGAGACGAGUUCGUGAACGAGGAACCUGUUGAGUACGCUUACGAGGAUCAAGCUUUCGACAACUCUGAGAACCUUGCAGGAAAGAUGACCAUACCCUCAAAAUCACUUCUAUCUUUGCUUUGCUAGUUGUUCGUUCUUUGCCAUGCUGCGCUACCUACCAUUUGCUAUAUCAUGCCUCCCAUAUUGCCAUGUCAAGCCUCUAACCAUCCUUUCCUAGCAAACCGUUGUUUGGCUAAGUUACCGCUUUUGCUCAGCCCUUCUUAUAGCGUUGCUAGUUGCAGGUGAGCCACUAAAGAGGUACUUAUCAAGGAGUUUCUACGUGUCCUUUGCUUUUGAGUCACGCUUGGUCGGUUUUAGGGCAAAUUCUGUAACAGAUGCCAUAUAUGGGUACCAAACUUGGAAAAUUUCUAUGAAUGGCAUUUUUUAAGCAUGGAUUGGGCAGCAAAAAUUAUUUUGGACGAGCCACGAAAGAGGUAUUUAUCAAGGAGUUUUUGCGUGUCCUUUGUUUUCGAGUCACGUUUGGUCGAUUUCAGGGCAAAUUCUGUACAGGAUGUCAGGUAUGGUUACCUAACUUGGAAAAUUUCUGUGAACGGCAUUUUCUAAGCAUGGAUUGGCUAGUAAAAGUUAUUUUGGACAAGCCAUGAAAGAGGUAGUUAUCGAGGUGUUUUUUCGUCUCCUUUGUUUUCGAGACGUGUUUGGUCGGUUCAAGGGCAAAUUUUGUACAAGAUGUCAUAUAUGUGUACCUAACGUGGAAAACUUAUGUAAACGACAUUUUCUAAGCAUGGAUUGGGCAGCCAAGCAAGAGGUAGUUAUCGUGGAGUUUUUGCAUGUCCUUUAUUUUUGAGUCGCGUUCGGUCGGUUUUAGGGCAAAUUCUGUACAAUAUGUAAUAUAUGGGUACCUAACUUGGAAAAAUUAUGUGAAUGGAAUUUUUUAAGCAUGGAUUGGGUUAUAAAAUGUUAUGUUGGACGAGCCACGAAAGAGUUAGUUAUCGAGGAUUUUUUGCGUGUCCGUUGUUCUCGAGUCGCGUUCCGUCGGUUUUAGGGUACAUUCCGUACAAGAUGUCAUGUAUGGUUACCUAACUUGGAAAAUUUGUAUGAACGGAAUUUUUUAAGCACGGAUUGGGUAGCUAAAAGUUAUUUUGGAUGAGCCAUGAAAGCGGUAGUUAUCAAGGAGUUUUUGCGUGUUCUUUGUUUUCAAGUCGCGUUUGGUCCGUUCAAGGGCAAAUUCUGUACAAGAUGUCAUAUAUGGGUACCUAAGUUUGAAUAAUUCUAUGAACGGCAUUUUUUAAGCAUGGAUUAGGUACCAAAAAGUUAUGUUGGACGAGCCACGAAAGAGGUAGUUACCGAGGAGUUUUUGCGUGUCUUUUGUUUUUGAGUCGCGUUUGGUCUGUUUUAGGGCAAAUUCUGUACAACAUGUAAUAUAUGGGUACCUAACUUGGAAAAAUUAUGUGAACGACAUUUUUAAGCAUGGAUUGGGUUAUAAAAAGUUAUGUUGGACGAGCCACGAAAGAGUUAGUAUCGAGGGGUUUUUUUGUGUCCUUUGUUUUCGAGUCGCGUUUCGUAGGUUUAAGGGCAAAUUAUGCACAAGCUGUCAUAUAUGGGUACCUAACUUGGAAAAAUUAUGUGAACGACAUUUUUUAAUUAUGGAUUGGGUUAUAAAAAGUUAUGUUGGAGGAGCCACGAUAGAGUUAGUUAUCGAGGAGCUUUUGCGUGUCCUUUGUUUUCGAGUCGCGUUUGGUCGCUUUUAGGGCAAAUGCUGGACAAGCUGUCAUAUAUGGGUACCUGACUUGGAAAAAUUCUAUGAGCAGAAUUUUUUAAGCAUCGGGUAGCAAUAAGUUAUUUUGGACGAGCCAAGAAAGAGGUAGUUAUCGAGUAGUUUUUGCCUGUCCUUUGUUUUCGGGUCGCGUUUGGUCGGUUUUAAGACAAAUAUUGUACAAGACGUCAUAUAUGGGUACCUAACGUGGAAAAAUUAUGUAACGACAUUUUCUAAGCAUGGAUUGGGUAGCAAUAAGUUAUUUUGGACGAGCCAAGAAAGAGGUAGUUAUCGUGGAGGUUUUGCAUGUCCUUUAUUUUUGAGUCGCGUUCGGUCAGUUUUAGGGCAAAUUCUGUACAAUAUGUAAUAUAUGGGUACCUAACUUGGAAAAAUUAUGUGAAUGGAAUUUUUUAAGCAUGGAUUGGGUUAUAAAAUGUUAUGUUGGACGAGCCACGAAAGAGUUAGUUAUCGAGGAUUUUUUGCGUGUCCUUUGUUUUCGAGUCGCGUUCCGUCGGUUUUAGGGUACAUUCCGUACAAGAUGUCAUGUAUGGUUACCUAACUUGGAAAAUUUGUAUGAACGGAAUUUUUUAAGCACGGAUUGGGUAGCUAAAAGUUAUUUUGGAUGAGCCAUGAAAGAGGUAGUUAUCAAGGAGUUUUUGCGUGUUCUUUGUUUUCAAGUCGCGUUUGGUCCGUUCAAGGGCAAAUUCUGUACAAGAUGUCAUAUAUGGGUACCUAAGUUUGAAUAAUUCUAUGAACGGCAUUUUUUAAGCAUGGAUUGGGUACCAAAAAGUUAUGUUGGACGAGCCACGAAAGAGGUAGUUACCGAGGAGUUUUUGCGUGUCUUUUGUUUUUGAGUCGCGUUUGGUCUGUUUUAGGGCAAAUUCUGUACAACAUGUAAUAUAUGGGUACCUAACUUGGAAAAAUUAUGUGAACGACAUUUUUAAGCAUGGAUUGGGUUAUAAAAAGUUAUGUUGGACGAGCCACGAAAGAGUUAGUAUCGAGGGGUUUUUGUGUGUCCUUUGUUUUCGAGUUGCGUUUGGUAGGUUUAAGGGCAAAUUAUGCACAAGCUGUCAUAUAUGGGUACCUAACUUGGAAAAAUUAUGUGAACGGCAUUUUUUAAUUAUGGAUUGGGUUAUAAAAAGUUAUGUUGGAGGAGCCACGAUAGAGUUAGUUAUCGAGGAGCUUUUGCGUGUCCUUUGUUUUCGAGUCGCGUUUGGUCGCUUUUAGGGCAAAUGCUGGACAAGCUGUCAUAUAUGGGUACCUAACUUGGAAAAAUUCUAUGAGCAGAAUUUUUUAAGCAUGGGGUAGCAAUAAGUUAUUUUGGACGAGCCAAGAAAGAGGUAGUUAUCGAGUAGUUUUUGCCUGUUCUUUGUUUUCGGGUCGCGUUUGGUCGGUUUUAAGACAAAUAUUGUACAAGACGUCAUAUAUGGGUACCUAACGUGGAAAAAUUAUGUAAACGACAUUUUCUAAGCAUGGAUUGGGUAGCAAUAAGUUAUUUUGGACGAGCCAAGAAAGAGGUAGUUAUCGUGGAGUUUUUGCAUGUCCUUUAUUUUUGAGUCGCGUUUGGUCGGUUUUAGGGCAAAUUCUGUACAAUAUGUAAUAUAUGGGUACCUAACUUGGAAAAAUUAUGUGAAUGGAAUUUUUUAAGCAUGGAUUGGGUUAUAAAAAGUUAUGUUGGACGAGCCACGAAAGAGUUAGUUAUCGAGGAUUUUUUGCGUGUCCUUUGUUUUUGAGUCGCAUUUGGUAGGUUUAAGGGCAAAUUAUGCACAAGAUGUCAUAUAUGGGUGCCUAACUUGGAAAAACUAUGUAAAGGGCAUUUUUAAGCAUGUAUUGGGUAGCAAAAAGUUAUUUUGGACGAGCCAUAAAAGAGGUAUUUAUCGAGGAGUUUUUGCGUGUCCUUUGUUUUCGAGUCGCAUUUGGUCCGUGUUUGGGCAAAUUCUGGACAAGCUGUCAUAUAUGGGUACCUCACUUGGAAAAAUUCUGUGACCAGCAUUUUUUAAGCAUGGAUUAGGUAGCAAUAAGUUAUUUUGGAUGAGCCAAGAAAGAGGUACUUAUCGAGUAGUUUUUCCGUGUCCUUUGUUUUGAGUCACGUUUGGUCGGUUUUAGGGCAAAUUCUGUACAAGACGUCAUAUAUGGGUACCUAACAUGGAAAAAUUCUGUGAACGAAAUUUUUUAAGCAUGGAUUAGGUAGCAAAAAUAUAUUUUGGACGAGCCACGAAAGAGGUAAUUAUCGAGGAGUUUCUGCGUGUCCUUUGUUUUUGAGUCGCGUUUGGUCGGUUUUAGGGUAAAUUCUGUACAAGAUGUCAUAUAUGGGUACCUAACUUGGAAAUAUUCUAUGAACGAUAUUUUUAAGCAUGGAUUGGGUAGCAAAAAGUUAUUUGGGCAAGCCAACAAAGAGGUAAUUAUCGAGGAGUUUCUGCGUGUCCUUUCUUUCCGAGUCGUGUUUGGUCGGUUUUAGGGCAAAUUCUGUAACAGAUGUCAUAUGUGGUACCUACCUUGGAAAUUUUCUGCGAACGGCAUUCUUUUAAGCAUGGACUUGGUAGCAAAAUUUAUUUUGGACGAGCCACAAAAGAGGUAGUUAUCAAUGAGUUUCUGCGUGUCCUUUGUUUUCGAGUCGCGCUUAGUCGGUUUCUGGGCAAAUUCUAUAACAGAUGCCAUAUAUGGUACCUAACUUCGAAAAUUUCUGUGAACGGUAUUUUUAAGCAUGGAUUGGGCAGCAAAAAGUUAUUUUGGACGUGCCACGAAAGAGGUAUUUAUCGAGGAGUUUUUGCGUGUCCUUUGUUUUCGAGUCUCGUUUGGUCGGUUUUAGUGUAAAUUUUGUACAAGAUGUCAUGUAUGGUUACCUAACUUGGAAAAUUUCUAUGAACGUAAUUUUUUAAGAAUGGAUUGGGUAGCUAAAAGUUAUUUUGGACGAGCCAAGAAAGAGGUGGUUAUAAAGGAGGUUUUGCGUGUCCUUUGUUUUCGAGUCGCGUUUGGUUGGUUCAAGGGCAAAUUCUGUACAAGAUGUCAUAUAUGGGUACCUAACUUGGAAAAAUUCUGUGAACGACAUUUUUUAAGCAUGGAUUGGGUAGCAAAAAGUUAUGUUGGACGAGCCACUAAAGAGUUAGUUAUCGAGGAGUUUUUGCGUGUCCUUUGUUUUUGAGUCGCGUUUGGUCGGUUUUAGGGCAACUUCCGUACAAGAUGUCAUAUAUGGGUACCUAACUUGGAAAAAUUCUAUGACCGGCUUUUUAAGCAUGGAUAGGGUAGCCAAUAGUUAUUUUGGACGAGCCACGAAAGAGGUAUUUAUCGAGGAGUUUUUGCGUGUCUUUUGUUGUCGAGUCGCGUUUGGUCGGUUUUAGGGUAAAUUCUGUACAAGAUGUCAUGUAUGGUUACCUAACUUGGAAACUUUCUAUGAACGGAAUUUUUUAAGAAUGGAUUGGGUAUCUAAAAGUUAUUUUGUACGAGCCAAGGAAGAGGUAGUUAUAGAGGAGGUUCUGCGUGUCCAUUGUUUUCGAGUCGCGUUUGGUUGGUUCAAGGGCAAAUUUUGUACAAGAUGUCAUAUAUGGGUACCUAACUUGGAAAAUUCUGUGAAUGACAUUUUUUAAGCAUUGAUUGGGUAGCCAAAAGUUAUGUUGGACGAGCCACUAAAGAGGUAGUUAUCGAGGAGUUUUUGCGUGUCCUUUGUUUUCGAGUCGCGUUUGGUCGAUUUUAGGGCAAAUUCUGUACAACAUGUGAUAUAUGGGUACCUAACUUUGGAAAAAUAAUAUGAAUGGCAUUUUUAUGCAUGGAUUGGGUAGCAAAAAGUUAUUUUGGAAGAGCCACGAAAGAGGUAGUUAUGGAGUCAAGUUUGCUCGGUUUUAGGGCAAAUUCUGUACAAGAUGUCAUAUAUGGGUACCUAACUUGGAAAAAUUCUAUGACCGGCUUUUUAAGCAUGGAUUGGGUAGCCAAAAGUUAUUUUGGACGAGCCAUGAAAGAGGUAGUUAUCAAGGAGUUUUUGCGUGUCCUUUGUUUCGAGUCGCGUUUGGUCGGUUUUAGGGCAAAUAUUGUACAACAUGUCAUAUAUGGGUACCUAACUUCCAAACAUUCGGUGAACGACAUUUUACAAGGAUGGAUUGGGUAGCAAAAAUUUAUGUUGAACAAGCCACGAUAGAGGUAGUUACUGACGAGUUUUUGCAUGUCCUUUGUUUUUGAGUCCUGUUUGGUCGGUUUUAGGGCAAAUUCUGUACAAGAUGUAAUAUAUGGGUACCUAACUUGGAACAAUUAUGUGAACGACAUUUUUAAGCACGGAUUGGGUUAUAAAAAGUUAUGUUGGACGAGCCACGAAAGAGUUAGUUAUCGAGGAGUUUUUGCGUGUCCUUUGUUUGGAUUGGGUAGCAAUAAGUUAUUUUGGGCAAGCCACCAAAGAGGUUAUUAUCGAGGAGUUUUUGCAUUUCGCGUUUGGUUGGUUUUAGGGAUAAUUCUGUAACAGAUGUCAUAUAUGGUACCUACCUUGGAAAUUUUCUGCGAACGGCAUUCUUUUAAGCAUGGACUUGGUAGCUAAAUCUAUUUUGGACGAGCCACAAGAGAGGUAGUUAUCGAGGAGUUUCUGCGUGUCCUUUGUUUUUGAGUCGCGUUUGGUCGGUUUUAGGGCAAAUUCUAUAACAGAUGCAAUAAAUGGUACCUAACUAGGAAAAUUUCUGUGAACGGCGUUUAAUAAGAAUGGAUUGGACAGCAAAAAGUUAUUUUGGACGAGCCACGAAAGAGGUAUUUAUCGAGGAGUUUUUGCGUGUCCUUUGUUUUCGAGUUGCGUUUGGUCGGUUUUAGGGUAAAUUAUGUACAAGAGGUCAUCUAUGGUUACCAACUUGGAAAAUUUCUAUGAACAGAGUUUUUUAUGAAUGGAUUGGGUAGCUAAAAGUUAUUUUGGACGAGCCAAGAAAGAGGUAGUUAUAGAGGAGGUUUUGCGUGUCCUUUGUUUUCGAGUCGCGUUUCGUAGGUUUAAGGGCAGAUUAUGCACAAGCUGUCAUAUAUGGGUACCUAACUUGGAAAAAUUAUGUGAACGGCAUUUUUUAAUUAUGGAUUGGGUUAUAAAAAGUUAUGUUGGAGGAGCCACGAUAGAGUUAGUUAUCGAGGAGCUUUUGCGUGUCCUUUGUUUUCGAGUCGCGUUUGGUCGCUUUUAGGGCAAAUGCUGGACAAGCUGUCAUAUAUGGGUACCUGACUUGGAAAAAUUCUAUGAGCAGAAUUUUUUAAGCAUUGGGUAGCAAUAAGUUAUUUUGGACGAGCCAAGAAAGAGGUAGUUAUCGAGUAGUUUUUGCCUGUCCUUUGUUUUCGGGUCGCGUUUGGUAGGUUUUAAGACAAAUAUUGUACAAGACGUCAUAUAUGGGUACCUAACGUGGAAAAAUUAUGUAAACGACAUUUUCUAAGCAUGGAUUGGGUAGCAAUAAGUUAUUUUGGACGAGCCAAGAAAGAGGUAGUUAUCGUGGAGUUUUUGCAUGUCCUUUAUUUUUGAGUCGCGUUUGGUCGGUUUUAGGGCAAAUUCUGUACAAUAUGUAAUAUAUGGGUACCUAACUUGGAAAAAUUAUGUGAAUGGAAUUUUUUAAGCAUGGAUUGGGUUAUAAAAUGUUAUAUUGGACGAGCCACGAAAGAGUUAGUUAUCGAGGAUUUUUUGCGUGUCCUUUGUUUUUGAGUCGCAUUUGGUAGGUUUAAGGGCAAAUUAUGCACAAGAUGUCAUAUAUGGGUGCCUAACUUGGAAAAACUAUGUAAAGGGCAUUUUUAAGCAUGUAUUGGGUAGCAAAAAGUUAUUUUGGACGAGCCAUAAAAGAGGUAUUUAUCGAGGAGUUUUUGCGUGUCCUUUGUUUUCAAGUCGCAUUUGGUCCGUGUUUGGGCAAAUUCUGGACAAGCUGUCAUAUAUGGGUACCUCACUUGGAAAAAUUCUGUGACCAGCAUUUUUUAAGCAUGGAUUAGGUAGCAAUAAGUUAUUUUGGAUGAGCCAAGAAAGAGGUAGUUAUCGAGUAGUUUUUCCGUGUCCUUUGUUUUGAGUCGCGUUUGGUCGGUUUUAGGGCAAAUUCUGUACAAGACGUCAUAUAUGGGUACCUAACAUGGAAAAAUUCCGUGAACGAAAUUUUUUAAGCAUGGAUUAGGUAGCAAAAAGUUAUUUUGGACGAGCCACGAAAGAGGUAAUUAUCGAGGAGUUUCUGCGUGUCCUUUGUUUUUGAGUCGCGUUUGGUCGGUUUUAGGGUAAAUUCUGUACAAGAUGUCAUAUAUGGGUACCUAACUUGGAAAUAUUCUAUGAACGANNNNNNNNNNUUUGUUUUCGAGUCUCGUUUGGUCGGUUUUAGGGUAAAUUUUGUACAAGAUGUCAUGUAUGGUUACCUAACUUGGAAAAUUUCUAUGAACGUAAUUUUUUAAGAAUGGAUUGGGUAGCUAAAAGUUAUUUUGGACGUGCCAAGAAAGAGGUAGUUAUAGAGGAGGUUUUGCGUGUCCUUUGUUUUCGAAUCGCGUUUGGUUGGUUCAAGGGCAAAUUCUGUACAAGAUGUCAUAUAUGGGUACCUAACUUGGAAAAAUUCUGUGAACGACAUUUUUUAAGCAUGGAUUGGGUAGCAAAAAGUUAUGUUGGACGAGCCACUAAAGAGUUAGUUAUCGAGGAGUUUUUGCGUGUCCUUUGUUUUCGAGUCACGUUUGAUCGGUUUUAGGGCAAAUUCUAUACAACAUGUCAUAUAUGGGUACUUAACUUUGGAAAAAUUCUGUGAAUGGAAUUUUUUAAGCAUGGAUUGGGUAGAAAAAAUUUAUUUUGGAAGAGCCACAAAAGAGGUAGUUAUCGAGGAGUUUUUGCAUGUCAAUUGUUUUUGAGUCGCGUUUGGUCGGUUUUAGGGCAAAUUCCGUACAAGAUGUCAUAUAUGGGUACCUAACUUGGAAAAAUUCUAUGACCGUCUUUUUAAGCAUGGAUAGGGUAGCCAAAAGUUAUUUUGGACGAGCCACGAAAGAGGUAUUUAUCGAGGAGUUUUUGCGUGUCUUUUGUUGUCGAGUCGCGUUUGGUCGGUUUUAGGGUAAAUUCUGUACAAGAUGUCAUGUAUGGUUACCUAACUUGGAAACUUUCUAUGAACGGAAUUUUUUAAGAAUGGAUUGGGUAUCUAAAAGUUAUUUUGUACGAGCCAAGGAAGAGGUAGUUAUAGAGGAGGUUCUGCGUGUCCAUUGUUUUCGAGUCGCGUUUGGUUGGUUCAAGGGCAAAUUUUGUACAAGAUGUCAUAUAUGGGUACCUAACUUGGAAAAAUUCUGUGAAUGACAUUUUUUAAGCAUUGAUUGGGUAGCCAAAACUUAUGUUGGACGAGCCACUAAAGAGGUAGUUAUCGAGGAGUUUUUGCGUGUCCUUUGUUUUUGAGUCGCGUUUGGUCGAUUUUAGGGCAAAUUCUGUACAAGAUGUCAUAUAUGGGUACCUAACUUGGAAAAAUUCUAUGACCGGCUUUUUAUGCAUGGAUUGGGUAGCCAAAAGUUAUUUUGGACGAGCCAAGAAAGAGGUAGUUAUCGAGUAGUUUUUGCCUGUCCUUUGUUUUCGGGUCGCGUUUGGUAGGUUUUAAGACAAAUAUUGUACAAGACGUCAUAUAUGGGUACCUAACGUGGAAAAAUUAUGUAAACGACAUUUUCUAAGCAUGGAUUGGGUAGCAAUAAGUUAUUUUGGACGAGCCAAGAAAGAGGUAGUUAUCGUGGAGUUUUUGCAUGUCCUUUAUUUUUGAGUCGCGUUUGGUCGGUUUUAGGGCAAAUUCUGUACAAUAUGUAAUAUAUGGGUACCUAACUUGGAAAAAUUAUGUGAAUGGAAUUUUUUAAGCAUGGAUUGGGUUAUAAAAUGUUAUAUUGGACGAGCCACGAAAGAGUUAGUUAUCGAGGAUUUUUUGCGUGUCCUUUGUUUUUGAGUCGCAUUUGGUAGGUUUAAGGGCAAAUUAUGCACAAGAUGUCAUAUAUGGGUGCCUAACUUGGAAAAACUAUGUAAAGGGCAUUUUUAAGCAUGUAUUGGGUAGCAAAAAGUUAUUUUGGACGAGCCAUAAAAGAGGUAUUUAUCGAGGAGUUUUUGCGUGUCCUUUGUUUUCAAGUCGCAUUUGGUCCGUGUUUGGGCAAAUUCUGGACAAGCUGUCAUAUAUGGGUACCUCACUUGGAAAAAUUCUGUGACCAGCAUUUUUUAAGCAUGGAUUAGGUAGCAAUAAGUUAUUUUGGAUGAGCCAAGAAAGAGGUAGUUAUCGAGUAGUUUUUCCGUGUCCUUUGUUUUGAGUCGCGUUUGGUCGGUUUUAGGGCAAAUUCUGUACAAGACGUCAUAUAUGGGUACCUAACAUGGAAAAAUUCCGUGAACGAAAUUUUUUAAGCAUGGAUUAGGUAGCAAAAAGUUAUUUUGGACGAGCCACGAAAGAGGUAAUUAUCGAGGAGUUUCUGCGUGUCCUUUGUUUUUGAGUCGCGUUUGGUCGGUUUUAGGGUAAAUUCUGUACAAGAUGUCAUAUAUGGGUACCUAACUUGGAAAUAUUCUAUGAACGACAUUUUUAAGCAUGGAUUGGGUAGCAAAAAGUUAUUUUGGGCAAGCCAACAAAGAGGUAAUUAUCGAGGAGUUUCUGCGUGUCCUUUCUUUCCGAGUCGUGUUUGGUCGGUUUUAGGGCAAAUUCUGUAACAGAUGUCAUAUGUGGUACCUACCUUGGAAAUUUUCUGCGAACGGCAUUCUUUUAAGCAUGUACUUGGUAGCAAAAUUUAUUUUGGACGAGCCACAAAAGAGGUAGUUAUCAAGGAGUUUCUGCGUGUCCUUUUUUUCGAGUCGCGCUUGGUCGGUUUCUCGGAAAUUCUAUAACAGAUGCCAUAUAUGGUACCUAACUUGGAAAAUUUCUGUGAACGGUAUUUUUAAGCAUGGAUUGGGCAGCAAAAAGUUAUUUUGGACGUCCCACGAAAGAGGUAUUUAUCGAGGAGUUUUUGCGUGUCCUUUGUUUUCGAGUCUCGUUUGGUCGGUUUUAGGGUAAAUUUUGUACAAGAUGUCAUGUAUGGUUACCUAACUUGGAAAAUUUCUAUGAACGUAAUUUUUUAAGAAUGGAUUGGGUAGCUAAAAGUUAUUUUGGACAUGCCAAGAAAGAGGUAGUUAUAGAGGAGGUUUUGCGUGUCCUUUGUUUUCGAAUCGCGUUUGGUUGGUUCAAGGGCAAAUUCUGUACAAGAUGUCAUAUAUGGGUACCUAACUUGGAAAAAUUCUGUGAACGACAUUUUUUAAGCAUGGAUUGGGUAGCAAAAAGUUAUGUUGGACGAGCCACUAAAGAGUUAGUUAUCGAGGAGUUUUUGCGUGUCCUUUGUUUUCGAGUCACGUUUGAUCGGUUUUAGGGCAAAUUCUAUACAACAUGUCAUAUAUGGGUACUUAACUUUGGAAAAAUUCUGUGAAUGGCAUUUUUUAAGCAUGGAUUGGGUAGAAAAAAUUUAUUUUGGAAGAGCCACAAAAGAGGUAGUUAUCGAGGAGUUUUUGCAUGUCAAUUGUUUUUGAGUCGCGUUUGGUCGGUUUUAGGGCAAAUUCCGUACAAGAUGUCAUAUAUGGGUACCUAACUUGGAAAAAUUCUAUGACCGUCUUUUUAAGCAUGGAUAGGGUAGCCAAAAGUUAUUUUGGACGAGCCACGAAAGAGGUAUUUAUCAAGGAGUUUUUGCGUGUCUUUUGUUGUCGAGUCGCGUUUGGUCGGUUUUAGGGUAAAUUCUGUACAAGAUGUCAUGUAUGGUUACCUAACUUGGAAACUUUCUAUGAACGGAAUUUUUUAAGAAUGGAUUGGGUAUCUAAAAGUUAUUUUGUACGAGCCAAGGAAGAGGUAGUUAUAGAGGAGGUUCUGCGUGUCCAUUGUUUUCGAGUCGCGUUUGGUUGGUUCAAGGGCAAAUUUUGUACAAGAUGUCAUAUAUGGGUACCUAACUUGGAAAAAUUCUGUGAAUGACAUUUUUUAAGCAUUGAUUGGGUAGCCAAAACUUAUGUUGGACGAGCCACUAAAGAGGUAGUUAUCGAGGAGUUUUUGCGUGUCCUUUGUUUUCGAGUCGCGUUUGGUCGAUUUUAGGGCAAAUUCUGUACAAGAUGUCAUAUAUGGGUACCUAACUUGGAAAAAUUCUAUGACCGGCUUUUUAUGCAUGGAUUGGGUAGCCAAAAGUUAUUUUGGACGAGCCAUGAAAGAGGUAGUUAUCAAGGAGUUUUUGCGUGUCCUUUGUUUCGAGUCGCGUUUGGUCGGUUUUAGGGCAAAUAUUGUACAACAUGUCAUAUAUGGGUACCUAACUUGCAAACAUUCGGUGAACGACAUUUUAUAAGGAUGGAUUGGGUAGCAAAAAUUUAUGUGGAACAAGCCACGAUAGAGGUAGUUACUGAAGAGUUUUUGCAUGUCCUUUGUUUUUGAGUCGUGUUUGGUUGGUUUUAGGGCAAAUUCUGUACAAGAUGUAAUAUAUGGGUACCUAACUUGGAACAAUUAUGUGAACGACAUUUUUAAGCACGGAUUGGGUUAUAAAACGUUAUGUUGGACGAGCCACGAAAGAGUUAGUUAUCGAGGAGUUUUUGCGUGUCCUUUGUUUGGAUUGGGUAGCAAUAAGUUAUUUUGGGCAAGCCACCAAAGAGGUAAUUAUUGAGGAGUUUCUGAAUGUCGCGUGGUUGGUUUUAGGGAUAAUUCCGUAACAGAUGUCAUAUAUGGUACCUACCUUGGACAUUUUCUGCGAACGGCAUUCUUUUAAGCAUGGACAUGGUAGCUAAAUCUAUUUUGGACGAGCCCCAAAAGAGGUAGUUAUCGAGGAGUUUCUGCGUGUCCUUUGUUUUUGAGUCGCGUUUGGUCGGUUUUAGGGCAAAUUCUAUAACAGAUGCCAUAUAUGGUACCUAACUAGGAAAAUUUCUGUGAACGGCGUUUUUUAAGAAUGGAUUGGACAGCAAAAAGUUAUUUUGGACGAGCCACGAAAGAGGUAUUUAUCGAGGAGUUUUUGCGUGUCCUUUGUUUUCGAGUUGCAUUUGGUCGGUUUUAGGGUAAAUUAUGUACAAGAGGUCAUCUAUGGUUACCUACUUGGAAAAUUUCUAUGAACAGAGUUUUUUAUGAAUGGAUUGGGUAGCUAAAAGUUAUUUUGGACGAGCCAAGAAAGAGGUAGUUAUAGAGGAGGUUCUGCGUGUCCUUUGUUUUCGAGUCGCGUUUGGUUUGUUCAAGGGCAAAUUCUGUACUUGAUGUCAUAUAUGGGUACCUAACUUAGAAAAAUUCUGUGAACGACAUUUUUAAGCAUGGACUGGGUAGCAAAAAGUUAUGUUGGACGAGCCACUAAAGAGGUAGUUAUCGAGGAGUUUUUGCGUGUCCUUUGUUUUUGAGUCGCGUUUGGUCGGUUUUAGGGCAUAUUCUGUACAACAUGUCAUAUAUGGGUACCUAACUUUGGAAAAAUUCUGUGAAUGGCAUCUUUUAAGCAUGGAUUGGGUAGCAAAAAGUUAUUUUGGAAGAGCCACGAAAGAGGUAGUUAUCGAGGAGUUUUUGCAUGUCAUUUGCUUUCGAGUCGCGUUUGGUCGGUUUUAGGGAAAAUUCUGUACAACAUGUCAUAUAUGGGUUGGGUUAUAAAAAGUUAUGUUGGACGAGCCACGAAAGAGUUAGUUAUCGCGGAGUGUUUGCGUGUCCUUUGUUUUUGAGUCGCAUUUGGUAGGUUUAAGGGCAAAUUAUGCACAAGAUGUCAUAUAUGGGUACCUAACUUGGAAAAAUUAUGUAAACGGCAUUUUUAAGCAUGGAUUGGGUAGCAAAAAGUUAUUUUGGACGAGCCAUAAAAGAGAUAUUUAUCCAGGAGUUUUUGCGUGUCCUUUGUUUUCGAGUCACAUUUGGUUGGUUUUAGGGCAAAUUCUGGACAAGCUGUCAUAUAUGGGUACCUAACUUGGAAAAAUUAUGUGACCAGCAUUUUUUAAGCAUGGAUUAGGUAGCAAUAAGUUAUUUUGGAUGAGCCAAGAAAGAGGUAGUUAUCGAGUAUUUUUUCCGUGUCCUUUGUUUUUGAGUCGCGUUUGGUCGGUUUUAGGGCAAAUUCUGUACAAGACGUCAUAUAUGGAUACCUAACAUGGAAAAAUUCUGUGAACGAAAUUUUUUAAGCAUUGAUUGGGUAGCAAAAAGUUAUUUUGGACAAGCCACGAAAGAGGUAGUUAUGGAGGAAUUUUUGCGUGUCCUUUGUUUUUGAGUCGCGUUUCGUCGGUUUUAGGGUAAAUUCUGUACAAGAUGUCAUAUAUGGGUACCAAACUUGGAAAUAUUCUGUGGACGACAUUUUUAAGCAUGGAUUGGGUAGCAAAAAGUUAUUUUGGGCAAGCCGCCAAAGAGGUAAUUAUCGAGGAGUUUCUGCGUGUCCUUUCCUUCAGAGUCGUGUUUGGUCGGUUUUAGGGCCAAUUCUAUAACAGAUGUCAUAAUGGUACCUACCUUGGAAAUUUUCUGUGAACGGCAUUUUUUAAGCAUGGAUUUGGUAGCAAAAUUUAUUUUGGACGAGCCACAAAAGAGGUAGUUAUCGAGGACUUUCUACGUGUCCUUUGUUUUCGAGUCGCGUUUGGUCGGUUUUAGGGCAAAUUCUAUAACAGAUGCCAUAUAUGGUAGCUAACUUGGAAAAUUUCUGUGAACGACAUUUUUUAAGCAUGGAUUGGGCAGCAAAAAGUUAUUUUGGACGUGCCACGAAAGAGGUAUUUAUCGAGGAGUUUUUGCGUGUCCUUUGUUUUCGAGUCGCGUUUGGUCGGUUUUAGGGUAAAUUCUAUACAAGAUGUCAUGUAUGGUUACCUUACUUGGAAAAUUUCUAUGAACGGAAUUUUUUAAGAAUGGAUUGGGUAGCUAAAGUUAUUUUGGACGAGCCAAGAAAGAGGUAGUUAUAGAGGAGGUUUUGCGUGUCCUUUGUUUUCGAGUCGCGUUUGGUUGGUUCAAGGGCAAAUUCUGUACAAGAUGUCAUAUAUGGGUACCUAACUUGGAAAAAUUCCGUGAACGACAUUUGUUAAGCAUGGAUUGGGUAGCAAAAAGUAAUGUUGGACGAGCCACUAAAGAGGUAGUUAUCGAGGAGUUUUUGCGUGUCCUUUGUUUUCGAUUGGCGUUUGGUCGGUUUUAGCGCAAAUUCUGUACAACAUGUCAUAUAUGUGUACCUAACUUUGGAAUAAUUCUGUGAAUGGCAUUUUUUAAGCAUGGAUUGGGUAGAAAAAAGUUAUAUUGGAAGAGCCACGAAAGAGGUAGUUAUCGAGGAGUUUUUGCAUGUCAUUUGUUUUUGAGUCACAUUUGGUCGAUUUUAGGGAAAAUUCUGUACAAGAUGUCAUAUAUGGGUACCAAACUUGGAAAAAUUAUAUGACCGGCUUUUUAAGCAUGGAUUGGGUAGCCAAAAGUUAUUUUGGACGAGCCACAAAAGAGGUAUUUAUCGAGGAGUUUUUGCGUGUCAUUUGUUGUCGAGUCGCGUUUGGUCGGUUUUAGGGUAAAUUCUGUACAAGAUGUCAUGUAUUGUUACCUAACUUGGAAAAUUUCUAUGAGCGGAAUUUUUUAAGAAUGGAUUGGGUAGCUAAAAGUUAUUUUGGAUGAGCCAAGGAAGAGGUAGUUAUAGAGGAGGUUUUGCGUGUCCUUUGUUUUCGAGUCGCGUUUCGUUGGUUCAAGGGCAAAUUUGGGACAAGAUGUCAUAUAUGGGUACCUACUUGGAAAAAUUCUGUCAAUGACAUUUUUUAAGCAUAGAUUGGGUAGCAGAAAGUUAUGUUGGAUGAGCCACUAAAGAGGUAGUUAUCGAGGAGUUUUUGCGUGUCCUUUGUUUUCGAGUCGCAUUUGGUCGGUUUUAGGGCAAAUUCUGCACAGCAUGUCAUAUAUGGGUACCUAACUUUGGGAAAAUUCUAUGAAUGGCAUUUUUAAGCAUGGAUUGGGUAGCAAAAAGUUAUUUUGGAAGGCCACCAAAGAGGUAGUUAUCGAGUCACGUUUGGUCGGUUUUAGGGCAAAUUCUGUACAAGAUGUCAUAUAUGGGUACCUAACUUGGAAAAAUUCUAUGACCGGCUUUUUAAGCAUGGAUUGGGUAGCCAAAAUUUAUUUUGGACGAGCCAUGAAAGAGGUAGUUAUCAAGGAGUUUUUGCGUAUCCUUUGUUUCGAGUCGCGUUUGGUCGGUUUUAGGACAAAUUUUGUACAACAUGUCAGAUAUGGGUACCUAACUUGGAAACAUUCGGUGAACAACAUUUUAUAAGUAUGGAUUGGGUAGCAAAAAUUUAUGUUGGACGAGCCAAGAUAGAGGUAGUUACCGAGGAGUUUUUGCAUGUCCUUUGUUUUUGAGUCGCGUUUGGUCGGUUUUAGGGCAAAUUCUGUACAACAUGUAAUAUAUGGGUACCUAACUUGGAAAAAUUAUGUGAACAACAUUUUUAAACAUGGAUUGGGUUUUAAAAAUUUAUGUUGGACGAGCCACGAAAGACUUAGUUAUCGACGAGUUUUUUUGUGUCCUUUGUUUUCGAGUCCCGUUUGGUAGGUAUAAGGGCAAAUUAUGCACAAGUUUUCAUAUAUGGGUACCUAACAUGGAAAAAUUAUGUAAACAACAUUUUUUAAGCAUGGAUUGGGUAGCAAAAAGUUAUUUUGGACAAGCCAUGAAAGUGGUAUUUAUCGAAGAGUUUUUGCGUGUCCUUUGUUUCGAGUCGUGUUUGGUCGGUUUUAGGGAAAAUUCUGGACAAGCUAUCACAUAUGGGUACCUAACUUGGAAAAAUUCUUUGAGCAGCAUUUUUUAAGCAUGGAUUGGGUAGCACUAAGUUAUUUUGGAUGAGCCAAGAAAUAGGUAGUUAUCGAGUAGUUUUUGCAUGUCAUUUGUUUUCGAGUCACGUUUGGUCGGUUUUAGGGCAAAUUCUAUACAUGACGUCAUAUAUGGGUACCUAACGUGGAAAAAUUAUGUAAAUGACAUUUUUUAAGCAUGGAUUGGGUAGGAAAAAGUUUUUUUUGGACGAGACAUGAAAGAGGUAGUUAUCGAGGAGUUUUUGCGUGUCCUUUGUUUUUUGAGUCGCGUUUGGUUGGUUUUAGGGCAAAUUCCGUACAAGAUGUAAUAUAUGGGUACCUAACUUGGAAAAAUUAUGUGAACAGCAUUUUUAAUUCUGGAUUGGCUUAUAAAAAGUUAUCUUCGAGGAGCCACGAUAGAGUUAGUUAUCGAGGAGUUUUUGCGUGUCCUUUGUUUUCGAGUCGCGUUUGGUCGGUUUUAGGACAAAUUCUGUACAACAUGUCAUAUAUGGGUACCUAACUUUGGAAAAAUUCUGUNNNNNNNNNNNNNNNNNNNNNNNNNNNNNNNNNNNNNNNNNNNNNNNNNNNNNNNNNNNNNNNNNNNNNNNNNNNNNNNNNNNNNNNNNNNNNNNNNNNNNNNNNNNNNNNNNNNNNNNNNNNNNNNNNNNNNNNNNNNNNNNNNNNNNNNNNNNNNNNNNNNNNNNNNNNNNNNNNNNNNNNNNNNNNNNNNNNNNNNNNNNNNNNNNNNNNNNNNNNNNNNNNNNNNNNNNNNNNNNNNNNNNNNNNNNNNNNNNNNNNNNNNNNNNNNNNNNNNNNNNNNNNNNNNNNNNNNNNNNNNNNNNNNNNNNNNNNNNNNNNNNNNNNNNNNNNNNNNNNNNNNNNNNNNNNNNNNNAUGACAUUUUUCAAGCAUGGAUUGGGUAGCAAAAAGUUAUGUUGGACGAGCCACUAAAGAGGUAGUUAUCGAGGAGUUUUUGCGUGUCCUUUGUUUUCGAGUCGCGUUUGGUCGGUUUUAGGGCAAAUUCUGUACAACAUGUCAUAUAUGGCUACCUCACUUUGGAAAAAUUCUGUGACUGGCAUUUUUUAAGCAUGGAUUGGGUAGCAAAAAGUUAUUUUGGAAGAGCCAUGAAAGAGGUAGUUAUCGAGUCACGUUUGGUCGAUUUUAGGGCAAAUUCUAUACAAGAUGUCAUAUAUGGGUACCUAACUUGGAAAAAUUCUAUGACCGGGUUUUUAAGCAUGGAUUGGGUAGCCAAAAGUUAUUUUGGACGAGCCAUGAAAGAGAUAGUUAUGGAGGAGUUUUUGCGUGUCCUUUGUUUCGAGUCGCGUUUGGUCGGUUUUAGGGCAAAUUUUGUACAACAUGUCAUAUAUGGGUACCUAACUUGGAAACAUUCGGUGAACGACAUUUUAUAAGGAUGGAUUGGGUAGCAAAAAUUUAUGUUGGACGAGCCACGAAAGAGGUAGUUACCAAGGAGUUUUUGCAUGUUCUUUGUUUUUGAGUCGCGUUUGGUCGGUUUUAGGGCAAAUUUUGUACAAGAUGUAAUAUAUGGGUACCUAACUUGGAAAAAUUAUGUGAAUGGCAUUUUUAAGCAUGGAUUGGGUUAUUAAAAGUUAUGUUGGACGAGCCACGAAAGAGUUAGUUAUCGAGGAGUUUUCCCUGUCCUUUGUUUUCAAGUCGCGUUUGGUAGGUUUAAGGCCAAAUUAUGCACAAGUUUUUAUAUAUGGGUACCUAACUUGGAAAAAUUAUGUAAACAGCAUUUUUUAAGCAUGGAUUGGGUAGCAAAAAGUUAUUUUGGACAAGCCAUGAAAGUGGUAUUUAUCGAACAGUUUUUGCGUGUCCUUUGUUUUCGAGUCGUGUUUGGUCGGUUUUAGGGCAAAUUCUGGACAAGCUAUCACAUAUGGGUACCUAACUUGGAAAAAUUCUGUGAGCAGCAUUUUUUAAGCAUGGAUUGGGUAGCACUAAGUUAUUUGGGAUGAGCCAAGAAAAAGGUAGUUAUCGAGUAGUUUUUGCAUGUCAUUUGUUUUCGAGUCGCGUUUGGUCGGUUUUAGGGCAAAUUCUAUACAAGACGUCAUAUAUGGGUACCUAACGUGGAAAAAUUAUGUAAACGAUAUUUUUUAAGCAUGGAUUGGGUAGCAAAAAGUUUUUUUGGACGAGCCAUGAAAGAGAUAGUUAUGAAGGAGUUUUUGCAUGUCCUUUGUUUCGAGUCGCGUUUGGUCGGUUUUAGGGCAAAUUUUGUACAACAUGUCAUAUAUGGGUACCUAACUUGGAAACAUUCGGUGAACGACAUUUUAUAAGGAUGGAUUGGGUAGCAAAAAUUUAUGUUGGACGAGCCACGAAAGAGGUCGUUACCAAGGAGUUUUUGCAUGUUCUUUGUUUUUGAGUCGCGUUUGGUCGGUUUUAGGGCAAAUUCUGUACAAGAUGUAAUAUAUGGGUACCUAAUUUUGGAAAAAUUCUAUGAAUGGCAUUUUUAAGCAUGGAUUGGGUAGCCAAAAGUUAUUUUGGAAGAGCCACGAAAGAGGUAGUUAUCGAGUCACGUUUGGUCGGUUUUAGGGCAAAUUCUGUACAAGAUGUCAUAUAUGGGUACCUAAGUUGGAAAAAUUCUAUGACCAGCUUUUUAAGCAUGGAUUGGGUAGCCAAAAUUUAUUUUGGACGAGCCAUGAAAGAGGUAGUUAUCAAGGAGUUUUUGCGUAUCCUUUGUUUCGAGUCGCGUUUGGUCGGUUUUAGGGCAAAUUUUGUACAACAUGUCAGAUAUGGGUACCUAACUUGGAAACAUUCGGUGAACAACAUUUUAUAAGUAUGGAUUGGGUAACAAAAAUUUAUGUUGGACGAGCCACGAUAGAGGUAGUUACCGAGGAGUUUUUGCAUGUCCUUUGUUUUUGAGUCGCGUUUGGUCGGUUUUAGGGCAAAUUCUGUACAACAUGGAAUAUAUGGGUACUUACUUGGAAAAAUUAUGUGAACAACAUUUUUAAACAUGGAUUGGGUUAUGAAAAUUUAUGUUGGACGAGCCACGAAAGACUUAGUUAUCGAGGAGUUUUUGUGUGUCCUUUGUUUUCGAGUCCCGUUUGGUAGGUAUAAGGGAAAAUUAUGCACAAGUUUUCAUAUGUGGGUACCUAACAUGGAAAAAUUAUGUAAACAACAUUUUUUAAGCAUGGAUUGGGUAGCAAAAAGUUAUUUUGGACAAGCCAUGAAAGUGGUAUUUAUCGAAGAGUUUUUGCGUGUCCUUUGUGUCGAGUCGUGUUUGGUCGGUUUUAGGGAAAAUUCUGGACAAGCUAUCACAUAUGGGUACCUAACUUGGAAAAAUUCUGUGAGCAGCAUUUUUUAAGCAUGGAUUGGGUAACACUAAGUUAUUUUGGAUGAGCCAAGAAAUAGGUAGUUAUCGAGUAGUUUUUGCAUGUCAUUUGUUUUCGAGUCACGUUUGGUCGGUUUUAGGGCAAAUUCUAUACAAGACGUUAUAUAUGGGUACCUAACGUGGAAAAAUUAUGUAAACGACAUUUUUAAGCAUGGAUUGGGUAGGAAAAAGUUUUUUUGGACGAGACAUGAAAGAGGUAUUUAUCGAGGAGUUUUUGCGUGUCCUUUGUUUUCGAGUCACGUUUGGUCGGUUUUAGGGCAAAUUCUAAACAAGCUGUCAUAUAUGGGUACCUAACUUGGAAAUAUUCUGUGAGUAGCAUUUUCAAGCAUGGAUUGGGUAGCAAUAAGUUAUUUUGGACGAGCCAAGAAAGAGGUAGUUAUCAAGGAGUUUUUGCGUGUCCUUUGUUUUUUGAGUCGCGUUUGGUUGGUUUUAGGGAAAAUUCCGUACAAGAUGUAAUAUAUGGGUACCUAACUUGGAAAAAUUAUGUGAACAGCAUUUUUAAUUCUGGAUUGGCUUAUAAAAAGUUAUGUUGGACGAGCCACUAAAGAGGUAGUUAUCGAGGAGUUUUUGCGUGUCCUUUGUUUUCGAGUCGCGUUUGGUCGGUUUUAGGGCAAAUUCUGUACAACAUGUCAUAUAUGGCUACCUAACUUUGGAAAAAUUCUGUGACUGGCAUUUUUUAAGCAUGGAUUGGGUAGCAAAAAGUUAUUUUGGAAGAGCCACGAAAGAGGUAGUUAUCGAGUCACGUUUGGUCGAUUUUAGGGCAAAUUCUGUACAAGAUGUCAUAUAUGGGUACCUAACUUGGAAAAAUUCUAUGACCGGGUUUUUAAGCAUGGAUUGGGUAGCCAAAAGUUAUUUUGGACGAGCCAUGAAAGAGAUAGUUUUGAAGGAGUUUUUGCGUGUCCUUUGUUUUGAGUCGCGUUUGGUCGGUUUUAGGGCAAAUUUUGUACAACAUGUCAUAUAUGGGUACCUAACUUGGAAACAUUCGGUGAACGACAUUUUAUAAGGAUGGAUUGGGUAGCAAUAAUUUAUGUUGGACGAGCCACGAAAGAGGUAGUUACCAAGGAGUUUUUGCAUGUUCUUUGUUUUUGAGUCGCGUUUGGUCGGUUUUAGGGCAAAUUCUGUACAAGAUGUAAUAUAUGGGUACCUAACUUGGAAAAAUUAUGUGAACGGCAUUUUUAAGCAUGGAGUGGGUUAUAAAAAGUUAUGUUGGACGAGCCACGAAAGAGUUAGUUAUCGAGGAGUUUUCCGUGUCCUUUGUUUUCAAGUCGCGUUUGGUAGGUUUAAGGGCAAAUUAUGCACAAGUUUUCAUAUAUGGGUACCUAACUUGGAAAAAUUAUGUAAACAGCAUUUUUUAAGCAUGGAUUGGGUAGCAAAAAGUUAUUUUGGACAAGCCAUGAAAGUGGUAUUUAUCGAACAGUUUUUGCGUGUCCUUUGUUUUCGAGUCGUGUUUGGUCGGUUUUAGGGCAAAUUCUGGACAAGCUAUCACAUAUGGGUACCUAACUUGGAAAAAUUCUGUGAGCAGCAUUUUUUAAGCUUGGAUUGGGUAGCAAUAAGUUAUUUUGGAUGAGCCAUGAAAGAGGUAUUUAUCGAGGAGUUUUUGCGUGUCCUUUGUUUUCGAGUCGUGUUUCGUCGGUUUUAGGGCAAAUUCUAGACAAGCUGUCAUAUAUGGGUACCUAACUUGGAAAAAUUCUGUGAGUAGCAUUUUCAAGCAUGGAUUGGGUAGCAAUAAGUUAUUUUGGACGAGCCAAGAAAGAGGUAGUUAUCGAGGAGUUUUUGCGUGUCCUUUGUUUUUUGAGUCGCAUUUGGUUGUUUUUAGGGCAAAUUCCGUACAAGAUGUAAUAUAUGGGUACCAAACUUGGAAAAAUUAUGUGAACGGCAUUUUUAAUUAUGGAUUGGGUAAUAAAAAGUUAUGUUGGAGGAGCCACGAUAGAGUUAGUUAUCGAGGAGUUUUUGCGUGUCCUUUGUUUUCGAGUCGCGUUUGGUCGGUUUUAGGGCAAAUUCUGUACAACAUGUCAUAUAUGGGUGUAACACCCCAGAUGUAACUUUCCAUAUUUGCAACUUCAACUCUUGCCAUUUUUGGCUAUGUGUUAUGACAUUCCCUUCAUGGUCGGGUUUUGUUUUCCGUUUUGCAUUUUUCUUUUGUCAUGCAUCUCAUAUCAUGUCAUCAUGUGCAUUGCAUUUGCAUACGUGUUCGUCUAUUGCAUCCGAGCAUUUUCCCAGUUGUCUGUUUUGCAAUCCGGCACUCCCACCUCCUCCGGCGCACCCUCUUGUUUUCUUUUCGUGAGCGGGUGUUGAACAUUCUCGAAAUGGACCGAGGCUUGCCAAGCGGCCUUGGUAUACCACCGGUAGACCACCUGUCAAGUUUCGUUCCAUUUGGAGGUCGUUUGGUACUCCAACGGUUAACCGGGCAACCGCAAAGUCCUUUUGUGUGUUGCAGCAAAAUCCCCCUCCUAAUAGCCCAAAACCCAUCUAAGUCACUUCCAUGCUCUAGGUCGUUCGAUCACGAUCGUGUGGGCGAAAAUCGUGCUCAAUUUGGAGUCUCCUAGCUCCCUUUACCUAUAAAAACACCUCCCCCUCCGAAAUCUGGGCGAAACCCUAGCAAAAAUCGUCCUCCGCGCCGCCGGACGCGUCCACUCCCGCCGGACGAANNNNNNNNNNNNNNNNNNNNNNNNNNNNNNNNNNNNNNNNNNNNNNNNNNNNNNNNNNNNNNNNNNNNNNNNNNNNNNNNNNNNNNNNNNNNNNNNNNNNNNNNNNNNNNNNNNNNNNNNNNNNNNNNNNNNNNNNNNNNNNNNNNNNNNNNNNNNNNNNNNNNNNNNNNNNNNNNNNNNNNNNNNNNNNNNNNNNNNNNNNNNNNNNNNNNNNNNNNNNNNNNNNNNNNNNNNNNNNNNNNNNNNNNNNNNNNNNNNNNNNNNNNNNNNNNNNNNNNNNNNNNNNNNNNNNNNNNNNNNNNNNNNNNNNNNNNNNNNNNNNNNNNNNNNNNNNNNNNNNNNNNNNNNNNNNNNNNNNNNNNNNNNNNNNNNNNNNNNNNNNNNNNNNNNNNNNNNNNNNNNNNNNNNNNNNNNNNCCGCGCUCUCCGCCGCCCGGGCGCCUCGCCCGACCGCGCCCGACCCCGGCGCCUCCUCCUGCUCUCUUCCCCGACCGCCGCGCCUCUCCUUCCUCCGGCCUCGUCCUCUCCCGACUCCGGCGAGCUCGAGCUCAAACCCUAGCUCCGGGGAGCUCCCGAUCCGAUCUGUCCAGAGGUUGACUUUCCCUCCCCCCGUUUUUUCUCCAAGUCCCGAGCAUUUUUACAUUCUAUUGCAUACUUUGACACAUCAUAACUCUCUGAAUAUAGCUCUGUUUCAUGCGUGUAAUAUAUCAAAAUGUUCAUCUCGAGAUGCUCUUCAUUUUGUUCCAUUGCACCAUGUUCAUUUGUGUCCAUCUUGAGGCCCAAAUCUCUGGUGCAAGAGUGCUAGUUGCUGUUAACUGCUGUUACUUAUCAGAACUUGAGGAUUUGUUAUUUUUGUUGCUAUUGAUGUGUGCAUCUUAUGAGUAGGAUCUCAACAGGUGUAUUGAUGUAUGCCAUUCCAUCUUUACAGAGGUGUAUGCCAUGUAUUUUGGUGAUCUCUGUGGUGACUAGCACAAGCAUGCAAACUAGGCUUCGUAAUGUUUCUGAUUUCAGGGACUUCGUAAUUUUACCAAGUCUGUGACUGCUGUUAUUGUGUUGCUAUGUAUCCAUGUGGCUACAGAGCGAUCCAUGCUUAUUUUGGAGAUGUUUAGUAAGAAUCUUUUGUAGAUAUAGUUGUGCGCUAUCCAUCCAUGCCUCUUUUUGCAAUUAUCGAGUGACAUAGCUUGACUCAAUUUUGCUCUACUUUUGCUAUAAAAUAUUUCUGGCAGAUUGUUUACGUGUUAUUCAAUUUUGCCAAGCCUGUUGUAGUUGAUCCAUGCAUGCUAUGAACUUGCUCUUGCCAUGGAUAGAUUUACAAACAUGCCAUCUUGCUGGAGGUAUGCUUGUUUUGUCAUGCAUUGCUUUGUGGUGAGUUCAUCAAGCUCACAAAGAUGCCUUCAUAUUACUGUUUCUGUCAUAUUACUGUCAUCAAGCUCAGUCUGUAACCUGUUAACGAAACUUUCUAUGUUUACAUGGUUGCCAUCAUAUCUUCUGGUCCUUUUUGGCUUAUGGUCACUAAGGGACUUUUGUUAUAUGCAUUUAGUAGAAUACUGACAUGCCUUGUUUUGCCAUGUUAAGUUCCUGUAGCAUGUUGAUUGCUUGCUCUGAACAUCGCUACCUGAUGCUGUUUAUGCCAUGUCCAGUAAUUUCACCAAGUCUGUGAACAUGAUAUCUUUUGCACUAUUGCCAUGCCUGUUUGAACAUGCUGUGGUGUGAUCUAGCCGUAGCUCAUUGUUCAUCUUUUGUCAAGCACCUCCUGUAGAUUACAGCCAUAUGCUUUGCUGCUAUGUUGGGGUGCUGUAGCAUUAUUACUUGUUGCAUUCUAAGUGCUAUCAUGCUGUUAAUCGCAGAUUCGUGUCAUUCUUGUUUUGCUUGCCAUUUGCAAACCGUGCAUCCGUUUCCGGUGAUCUUUAUAUCGAUUUCAACCGAAAUCAUCUCAUCUUUCCAGUGGCAUGCUUGGUUUGUCAAUUUACUGCCUUGUUCAUCAUUUUUCUUCCGGAGCACGCAUAUCAUAUCUUGCAUAUCAUUCAUGUAUUGCAUCAUGUUGCUUGUGCAUUUCCCGUGAUUGAUUGUGGUUCCGUUGCUUGUGUUCUUGUUUUGGGUAGAGCCGGGAGACGAGUUCGUGAACGAGGAACCUGUUGAGUACGCUUACGAGGAUCAAGCUUUCGACAACUCUGAGAACCUUGCAGGCAAGAUGACCAUACCCUCGAAAUCACUUCUAUCUUUGCUUUGCUAGUUGUUCGUUCUUUGCCAUGCUACGCUACCUAUCACUUGCUAUAUCAUGCCUCCCAUAUUGCCAUGUCAAGCCUCUAACCAUCCUUUCCUAGCAAACCGUUGUUUGGUUAAGUUACCGCUUUUGCUCAGCCCUUCUUAUAGCGUUGCUAGUUGCAGGUGAAGUUGAAGGUGGUUCCAUGUUGGAACAUGGAUAUGUUGGGAUAUCACAAUAUCUCUUAUUUAAAUUAAUGCAUCUAUAUAUUUGGUAAAGGGUGGAAGGCUCGGCCUUAUGCCUGGUGUUUUGUUCCACUCUUGCCGCCCUAGUUUCUGUCAUACCGGUAUUAUGUUCCUUGAGUUUGCGUUCCUUACGCGGUUGGGUGAUUUAUGGGACCCCCUUGACAGUUCGCCUUGAAUAAAACUCCUCCAGCAAGGCCCAACCUUGGUUUUACCAUUUGCCACCUAAGCCUUUUUCCCCCGGGUUUUCGUGAGCCCGAGGGUCAUCUUUAUUUAAACCCCCGGGCCAGUGUUCCUCUGAAUGCUGGUCCAACCUAGAGCACCAUGCGGGACCGUCCCUUGGCAACCUAGAGCUUAUGAUGGGCUAAGUUGGGACACUCCUGCAGGGUAUUAUCUUUCGAAAGCCGUGCCCGCGGUUAUGAGGCGGAUGGGAAUUUGUUAAUGUCCGGUUGUAGAGAACUUGGCAGUUGACCCAAUUAAAAUACAUCAACCGUGUGCGUAACCGUGAUGGUCUCUUCUCGGCGGAGUCCGGGAAGUGAACACGGUUUGAGUUAUGCAUGAACAUAAGUAGUUUCAGGAUCACUUCUUGAUCAUGUCUAGCUUCGCGACCGUUGCGUUGCUUCUCUUCUCGCUCUCAUUUGCGUAUGUUAGCCACCAUAUAUGCUUAGUGCUUGUUGCAGCUCCACCUCAUUACACCAGCCUUUCCUAUAAGCUUAAAUAGUCUUGAUCUCGCGCGUGUGAGAUUGCUGAGUCCUCGUGACUCAUAGAUUCUACCAAAACAGUCGCAGGUUCCGACGAUGCCAGUGCAGGUGAUGCAACCGAGCUCGAGUGGGAGUUCGAUGAGGGACGUGGCCGUUACUAUGUGUCUUUUCCUGAUGAUCGGUAGUGGAGCCCAGUUGGGACGAUCGGGGAUCUAGCAUUUGGGGUUAUCUUAUUUUCAUUUGGAUUUUGACCGUAGUCGGUCUAUGUGUGGUUUUUGGAUGAUGUAUGAAUUAUAUUUAUGUAUUGUGUGAAGUGGCGAUAUUAAGCCAACUCUCGUUAUCCCAUUUUUGUUCAUUACAUGGGAUUGUGUGAGGAUGACGCUUCUUGCGACAAAACCACUAUGCGGUUUUGCCACUAAGUCGUGCCUCGACACGUGGGAGAUAUAGCCGCAUCGUGUUCGUUAUAAUGGGUACCUAACUUUGGAAAAAUUCCGUGAAUGGCAUUUUUAAGCAUGGAUUGGGUAGCAAAAAGUUAUUUUGGAAGAGCCACGAAAGAGGUAGUUAUCGAGGAGUUUUUGGAUGUCAUUUGUUUUCGAGUCGCGUUUGGUCGGUUUUAGGGCAAAUUCUGUACAAGAUGUCAUAUAUGGGUACCUAACUUGGAAAAAUUCUGUGAAUGACAUUUUUUAAGCAUGGAUUGGGUAGCAAAAAGUUAUGUUGGACGAGCCACUAAAGAGGUAAUUAUCGAGGAGUUUUUGCGUGUCCUUUGUUUUCGAGUCGCGUUUGGUCGGUUUUAGGGCAAAUUAUGUACACCAUGUCAUAUAUGGGUACCUAACUUUGGAAAAAUUCUGUGAAUGGCAUUUUUUGAGCAUGGAUUGGGUAGCAAAAAGUUAUUUUAGAAGAUCCACGAAAGAGGUAGUUAUCGAGUCACGUUUGGUCGGUUUUAGGGCAAAUUCUGUACAAGAUGUCAUAUAUGGGUACCUAACUUGGAAAAAUUCUAUGACCGGCUUUUUAAACAUGGAUUGUGUCGUGGAAUUGUCACGGCAGAUGUCCUAGUGUAAGGACUUAGUCGCGAGGCCAACGCAUCUAUGUGGGAUCUUGAAGGGGUUGAGCGGAAUCAAGAGACGCAACACGUAAGACGAGGAUUUAGACAGCUUCGGGCCCCGGGAAACAUCAUCCGGUAAUAACCCUACAUGCUGUUUGUAGCUAGGUCUCAUUAUGAUCAUGAAGGAGUCGCCGUAAGCCGGCUCUCCUUUUUCUGUCUAGCCCUAGAUAUUGUUUCUUGUCUCUCGUCCCUCUUGGGGAGCCCUGCCGGCCCCUCCUUAUAUAAGUUGAAGGGGCGGCUUACAUGUAGAGUCCUAGUAGGACUAGGACUAGUCUAUCUUUUCUUACAAGUUGAAUACAAGUCCAGGUCUUGCUUCCUUUGUAGGAAGAAUAUUCCUUAUGCCUUUCCUCUUAAGUCGGCCUACCAUAACGUAAGCCGGCCUUCUGGGCCUUGAGCCUCUUGGGCCCCCGGGUCUUUUCGCUCCUCUGAUCCGCUUGCCACGUCACCCAUAAGUCGCCAGACUCGGGCAGGUCACUUAGUGAGUCGUCCAGUCAGGGCGGGUCAUUAGUACGUCGCGAAGUCCGGCCGGGUUAUACAUCCGGCCGGGUCAUACUGCGGGGUAUAUCCCCGACAGAUUGGGUAGCCAAAAGUUAUUUUGGACAAGCCAUGAAAGAGAUAGUUAUCAAGGAGUUUUUGCGUGUCCUUUGUUUCGAGUCGCGUUUGGUCGGUUUUAGGGCAAAUUUUGUACAACAUGUCAUAUAUGGGUACCUAACUUGGAAACAUUCGGUGAACGAAAUUUUAUAAGGAUGGAUUGGGUAGCAAAAAUUAUGUUGGACGAGCCACGAAAGAGGUAGUUACCGAGGAGUUUUUGCAUGUUCUUUGUUUUUGAGUCGCGUUUGGUCGGUUUUAGGGCAAAUUCUGUGCAAGAUGUAAUAUAUGGGUACCUAACUUGGAAAAAUUAUGUGAACGGCAUUUUUAAGCAUGGAUUGGGUUAUAAAAAGUUAUGUUGGACGAGCCACGAAAGAGUUAGUUAUUGAGGAGUUUUUGCGUGUCCUUUGUUUUUUAGUCGCGUUUGGUAGGUUUAAGGGCAAAUUAUGCACAAGUUUUCAUAUAUGGGUACCUAACUUGGAAAAAUUAUGUAAACAUCAUUUUUUAAGCAUGGAUUGGGUAGCAAAAAGUUAUUUUGGACAAGCCAUGAAAUAGGUAUUUAUCAAGGAGUUUUUACGUGUCCUUUGUUUUCGAGUUGCGUUUGGUCGGUUUUAGGACAAAUUCUGGACAAGCUAUCAUAUAUGGGUACCUAACUUGGAAAAAUUAUGUGAGCAGCAUUUUUUAAGCAUGCAUUGGGUAGCAAUAAGUUAUUUUGGAUGAGCCAAGAAAGAGGUAGUUAUCGAGUAGUUUUUACAUGUCAUUUGUUUUCGAGUCGCGUUUGGUCGAAUAUAGCUCAACCCCUUUGUUAUUCGACGUGGAUUGUAUUCGAAUCAGCGUCGCUAAACAACUCUUAAGGUCAUUUGGGGGCUUCCUGUUCAAACAUAGGUCGUAUUCGAACCAAAGAGAACAUAGCUGUCGAUACCCUUUUGAUUAGCAAACUGCUGAACCUACUUGGGUUCUUCUUGAUCGUAUCCGAAUCAUAGCUCAACCCCUUUGGGAUUCGACGUGGAUCGUAUUCGAAUCAGCGUUGCUAAACAACUCUUAAGGUCAUUUGGGGGCUUCUUGUUCAAACAUAGGUCGUAUUCGAACCAAAGAGAACAUAGCUGUCGAUACCCACUUUGAUCGGCAAUGCCAACGCCACUGGGGGCUAUAUGAUCGUAUUCGAAUCUUAGCUUAACCCCUUUGGAACGGUUUACUGAUCGUAUUCGAAUCAGAAGGCUCAAAUUUUUUUAUCUGUUUUUAUACAAUCACAAGUAUUUGAGUCGUCACAAAUAUCAUAUGUGCCGGCUUUUACCGGGUUACGUUAUCAACUUCACCCUCCGGGUCACGUAAACCGGUGGUAUCAUCCAAAGGAUCAUAAGUAUGAUAACAUCAAUUGUGUCUUAACAUCAUGAUUGAUAACCGGCUUGUCUAUUUAUGAUUCUUUUUGGGUUUUUUAUAUGACCCGCCCUGCGGCAAACCGCCAAGGGUUCUUGUGAUCUACUUGUGUGCAGGGUAAGACUACAUUUGGGUGGUUACCCGCCCUGGUUUUUGACGUUAAGUCGCCAGGGCAUAUGUUGUUUAAACUCUGUGCAGGAUUUGCAGAACUAUGACUUAUAUAAAUGCUUCAGUCCAAGCUCAUCACUGAAAUUGGUGUCUCAAAAGGGUUAUCAAUUAUUGGUUUUCUCAAGGGCUAUAGGCCACCGGGUUACAAAAAUUCCGGCUUACAAUGAAGGCGCAUUAAGUCGUCAUUGGCCAAGAGCCGCCAGGUAUUUAAACUCCGGGUUUACUUGUCAACCGAUGAGGUAUUCAAAUCUUUAAUAGCCAAAACUGGCUGAAUUUUCAUGAUGAUAUUGAAUGAUUGAGGUUUUCAUACCGGAUUAUAUUAUUCAAAUCUUGAAUAGCCAACAUGGCUGGAUUUCUAUUGUGAUUAUCAAUAACCAGUGUUAUGAUUGAGGUUUUCAAAGUCGCUUUAGCGCAACGGCUAUUAUUUUUAUCAAUGGGCAUGAUUUAUUUUACAAUGGAGGAAAUAGUCCCGAGUCGCUGCAGGCUUACGACCCGGCACUUGGGGGCUACAUUGUUCAAAUCGAGAUUACAUCGAAUAUACAAGUCCCAUGUCACUGCCAGCAUGCACCAUGGCACUUGGGGGCUAAUGCAAAGUCAUAUUUUGCUCAACUUAUUGAAGACCCGACUCAUCACAUUUUAAAUGAGCCGGCCCUUGGGGGCUACCAAUUGCUCCUGUCGGAAAUUCAAGGUACACAAGCCUUAAUCCAUUAUAUUGAAAGAUCCAUUAUUCAGUUGGUAGAGUACAAAGCUCUUAACCUUGUGGACGUGGGUUCAAGCCCCAUGGUGGAGAUUACAUCAUUUGAUGGUAUUAUCAACGAAUCAUAUACAAAGUCCCAGCUCAGUAAUAUCUUAUUGAGCCGGCCCUUGGGGGCUACACGUUGCUGUUAAAGUCUACAUGAUCAUAUUUUCAAAAGUCCCUGUUCAUUAUUGCAUAAUGACCCGGCCCUUGGGGGCUACACUGGUUGAAGUUUUCAUAAGCAUAAAGCAAUUACAACUCCCUGGUUGCUGCAAGCAUGACAACCCGGCACUUGGGGGCUACAUGUGUGGAAUAUUCAGUUUAUAUGAUUGAGAUGAAUAAACCGGAUUUCUUCAAGGUUGCAACAUUUAUUGGAGCAAGUCUUAAACCAUCACUUUGUUCUGCUCAAGACUUGGGGGCUACAUGUAAUAUGGAUAUAAGGGAGAAAAAUCUUCAAAUUAUCAGUUUUGAGCAAGUCAGGAGGAUCAAAUUGACCCGGUGUUUGCAACAAUCAUGAUCCGGCGUCACCAAUAAUUAUGACCCGACGUCGGCAACAGUUAUGACCCGGUGCUAUCAAUAUUUAUAAGUCGGCAAUUUUGAUAAACCGGCAAGUCUUACUUCUUCAACCCGGCUGAAAGUCAGAUGAGUAUUUCAAGACCAAUAUGUUUUAAGCCAGCGCUUUGGAAGCCGAUUCAAGUGGAUUAUUUCUUACAAUAUUUCUCUACAAGAGACCAAUGCCAGCAAAUUGACUCGGAAGCUGGCCUAUUGACCCGGAUUUCUCAAAAGAAGUAUCCGGAAUUUUUGCAUUCACAAAAGUUGGAACAUAUCUACUAAAGGAGAUUUGCUAUAAGUUCAUGGGCAUGUAUCAAAGAGGAGAUGACCAGGACUUAAGGAUGAUCAAGUGCCGGCUUACAAGAAUAUUUAACCCGGAGUACAACCUGUCAAUUUGUUCUUGUGUUUAUGUUGCAGAUCAGUUUAACAUGGAUAAAUCCAAAUUAAACUUGGGGGCUAAUGUCGGGGAUAUACCCCGCGGUAUGACCCGGCCGGAUGUAUAACCCGGCCGGACAUGGCGACGUACUAAUGACCCGCCCUGACUGGACUACUCACUAAGUGACCCGCCCGAGUCUGGCGACUUAUGGGUGACCUGGCAAGCGGAUCAGAGGAGCGACAAGAACCGGGGGCCCAAGAGGCUCAAGGCCCAGAAAGCCGGCUUACGUUAUGGUAGGUCGGCUUAAGAGGAAAGGCAUAAGGAAUAUUCUCCUACAAAGGAAGCAAGACCUGGACUUGUAUUCAACUUGUAAGAAAAGAUAGACUAGUCCUAGUCCUACUAGGACUCUACAUGUAAGCCGCCCCUUCAACUUAUAUAAGGAGGGGCAGGGCUCCUCAAGAGGGACGAGAGACAAGAAACAAUAUCUAGGGCUAGACAGAAAGAGGACAGCCGGCUUAUGGCGACUCCUUCAUGAUCAUAAUGAGACCUAGCCACAAACAGCAUGUAGGGUUAUUACCGGAUGAUGUUUCCCAGGGCUCGAAGCUGUCUAAAUCCUCGUCUUAUGUGUUGCGUAUCUUGAUUCUGCUCAACCCCUUCAAUCUACCACAUAGAUGCGUUGGCCUCGCGUCUAAGUCCUUACACUAGGACAUCUGCCGUGACAAUUCCACGACAGUCGGUUUUAGGGCAAAUUCUAUACAAGACGUCAUAUAUGGGUACCUAACGUGGAAAAAUUAUGUAAAUGACAUUUUUUAAGCAUGGAUUGAGUAGCAAAAAGAUUUUUUGGACGAGCCAUGAAAGAGGUAUUUAUUGAGGAAUUUUUGCGUGUCCUUUGUUUUCGAGUCGUGUUUGGUCGGUUUUAGGGCAAAUUCUAGACAAGCUGUCAUAUAUGGGUACCUAACUUGGAAAAAUUCUGUGAGUAGCAUUUUUAAGCAUGGAUUGGGUAGCCAUAAGUUAUUUUGGACGAGCCAAGAAAGAGGUAGUUAUCAAGGAGUUUUUGCGUGUCCUUUGUUUUCGAGUCGCAUUUGGUCGGUUUUAGGGCAAAUUCUGGACAAGAUGUAAUAUAUGGGUCCUAACUUGGAAAAAUUAUGUGAAUGGCAUUUCUUAAGCAUGGAUUGGGUAGUAAAAAGUUAUUUUGGAGGAGCCAUGAAAGAGGUAUUUAGCGAGGAGGUUUUGUGUGUCCUUUGUUUUCGAGUCGCAUUUGGUCGGUUUUAGGGCAAAUUCUGGACAAGCUGUCAUAUAUGGGUACCUGAGUUGGAAAAAUUCUGUGAGCAGCAUUUUUUAAGCAUGCAUUAGGUAGCCAUAAGUUAUUUUGGAUGGGCCAAUAAAGAGGUAGUUAUCGAGUNNNNNNNNNNNNNNNNNNNNNNNNNNNNNNNNNNNNNNNNNNNNNNNNNNNNNNNNNNNNNNNNNNNNNNNNNNNNNNNNNNNNNNNNNNNNNNNNNNNNNNNNNNNNNNNNNNNNNNNNNNNNNNNNNNNNNNNNNNNNNNNNNNNNNNNNNNNNNNNNNNNNNNNNNNNNNNNNNNNNNNNNNNNNNNNNNNNNNNNNNNNNNNNNNNNNNNNNNNNNNNNNNNNNNNNNNNNNNNNNNNNNNNNNNNNNNNNNNNNNNNNNNNNNNNNNNNNNNNNNNNNNNNNNNNNNNNNNNNNNNNNNNNNNNNNNNNNNNNNNNNNNNNNNNNNNNNNNNNNNNNNNNNNNNNNNNNNNNNNNNNNNNNNNNNNNNNNNNNNNCUGCACAAGCUGUCAUAUAUGGGUACCUAACUUGGAAAAAUUCUGUGAGCAGCAUUUUUAAGCAUGGAUUGGGUAGCAAUAAGUUAUUUUGGAUGAGCCAAGAAAGAGGUAGUUAUCAAGGAGUUUUUGCGUGUCCUUUGUUUUUGAGUCGCGUUUGGUCGGUUUUAGGGCAAAUUAUGUACAAGACAUCAAAUAUGGGUACCUAACUUGGAAAAAUUCUGUGAGAAGCAUUUUUUAAGCAUGGAUUGUGUAGCAAUAAGUUAUUUUGGAUGAGCCAAGAAAGAGGUAGUUAUCAGGUAGUUUUUGCAUGUCCUUUGUUUUUGAGUCGCGUUUGAUCGGUUUUAGGGCAAAUUAUGUACAAGACGUCAUAUAUGGGUACCUAACGUGGAAAAAUUCUAUGAACGACAUUUUUAAGCAUGGAUUGGGUAGUAAAAAGUUAUUUUUGGCAAGCCACGAAAGAGGUAGUUAUCGAGGAGUUUCUGCGUGUCCUUUGUUUCCGAGUCGCGUUUGGUAGGUUUUAGGGCAAAUUCUGUAACAGAUGCCAUAUAUGGGUACCUAACUUGGAAAAUUUCUAUGAACGACAUUUUUUAAGCAUGGAUUGGGCAGCAAAAAGCUAUUUUGGACGAGACACAAAAGAGGUAUUUAUCGAGCAGUUUUUCCGUGUCCUUUGUUUUCGAGUCGGGUUUGGUCGCUUUUAGGGCAAAUUCUGGACAAGCUGUCAUAUAUGGGUACCUGACUUGGAAAAAUUCUAUGAGCAGCAUUUUUUAAGCAUGGGGUAGCAAUAAGUUAUUUUGGACGAGGCAAGAAAGAGGUAGUUAUGGAGUAGUUUUUGCAUGUCCUUUGUUUUCGAGUCGCGUUUGGUCGGUUUUAGGGCAAAUUUUGUACAAGACGUCAUAUAUGGGUACCUAACGUGGAAAAAUUAGGUAAACGACAUUUUCUAAGCAUGGAUUAGGUAGCAAAAAGUUAUUUUGGAUGAGCCUUGAAAGAGGUGUUUAUCGAGGAUUUUUUGCGUGUCCUUUGUUUUUGAGUCGCGUUUGGUCGUUUUAGGGCAAAUUAUGCACAAGUUUUCAUAUAUGGGUACCUAACUUCGAAAAAUUCUGUGAGUAGCAUUUUUUAAGCAUGGAUUGGGUAGCAAUAAGUUAUUUUGGACGAGCCUAGAAAGAGGUAGUUAUCGUGGAGUUUUUGCGUGUCCUUUGUUUUUGAGUCGCGUUUUGUCGGUUUUAGGGUAAUUUCUGUACAAGACGUCAUAUAUGGGUACCUAACUUGGAAAAUUAUGUGAAUGGAAUUUUUUAAGCAUGGAUUGGGUUAUAAAAAGUUAUGUUGGACGAGCCACGAAAGUGUUAGUUAUCGAGGAGUUUUUGCGUGUCCUUUGGUUCCGAGUCGCGUUUGGUAGGUUUUAGGGCAAAUUCUGUAAUAGAUGCCAUAUAUGGGUACCUAACUUGGAAAAUUUCUGUGAACGACAUUUUUUAAGCAUGGAUUGGGCAGCAAAAAGUUAUUUUGGACGAGACACAAAAGAGGUAUUUAUCGAGCAGUUUUUCCGUGUCCUUUGUUUUCGAGUCGGGUUUGGUCGAUUUUAGGGCAAAUUUUGGACAAGCUGUCAUAUAUGGGUACCUCACUUGGAAAACUUCCGUGACCAGCAUUUUUUGAGCAUGGAUUAGGUAGCAAUAAGUUAUUUUGGAUGAGCCAGGAAAGAGGUAGUUAUCGAGUAGUUUUUCCGUGUCCUUUCUUUUUGAGACGCGUUUGGUCGGUUUUUGGGCAAAUUUUGUACAAGACGUCAUAUAUGGCUACCUAACAUGGAAAAAUUAUGUGAACAAAAUUUUUUAAGCAUGGAUUGGGUAGCAAAAAGUUAUUUUGGACGAGCCACGAAAGAGGUAGUUAUCGAGGAA
Molecule: long non-coding RNA, 53209 nt
Filed under: Triticum aestivum (bread wheat)
Lineage: Eukaryota; Viridiplantae; Streptophyta; Magnoliopsida; Poales; Poaceae
Description: long non-coding RNA (TAES_LNC008274)
Rfam family: tRNA (bases 48598-48666)
Source: RNAcentral